RNAcentral lists this long non-coding RNA (60494 nucleotides) under Vitis vinifera (wine grape). RNAcentral's name for it is "long non-coding RNA (VVIN_LNC000523)". Lineage: Eukaryota; Viridiplantae; Streptophyta; Magnoliopsida; Vitales; Vitaceae. The record is from RNAcentral.
UUUUGAUAAGUAAAGAAAAUUCAUUUAUAAAGAGACGCCAAAGGAGCGACUCAAGGUAUACAACCUAUGUAAAGUAUACAAACCUAUACACCCACCACCAAAAGAGGCCAAAGACAAAUAAGAGACCCACCAACCAAAAGGCCCAAAAACCUUACAAUGAUCCCAACCAAUCUAUAAAAUUCACCAAAGUUUGAGGGCAUUCUACUAUAAAUAGCUUUGCCUCAGACCAAAGCGAGCAUAAAAAGGAAUAUUUCAAUCUCUGUAUUGAUAUUUCAUCAUCCUUGAAAGCUAAUCGAUUUCUCGCCUUCCAAACCGUCCAAAAAAUAUGCAGGGGAGCCGCUCUCCACACUUUCCUGUGUUUCUUGCCCACAGAAGAAGUCUGCUAACUAAGCAAAGUCUCUCUAACUGAACACGGCAACACCAAAGACACCCCAAACAAAGAAAAAAGCAACUCCCAUAAGACCCUUGUUUUUGAGCAGUGGAGAAGCAGAUGAUCUAUGGUCUCCUCCUUUUCAAUACACAUGAAACAUCUAUUCGCCAAUGACCAUCCUCUUCUCUGAACAAGAUCUAGGGUUAGCGCCUUACCCCAUGCGGCCUCCCACGCAAAAAAGCUGAUUUUGGGUUGUACCCACGCCUUCCAAAUACAGCUAGAUGGAAAAGAAAUAGGGCAGUCCUCUUUUAGAGCAAGGUAUAGAGACUCAGCCGAGAAAAUGCCGCUCUUUGUUUCAGUCCAAAUAGCCUUAUCAUCUACGUCUCCAAGGACUCUCUUCCCGUGAAGACACCCCAAAAAUAAUUCCGCCUCCUCCACCUCCCAAUCGUUUAGGGCUCUUGAAAAACAAGGGUUCCAACCCCCCCUACCCCCCUGCACCAAGGGAUCCCAAACAUCCGCCACCCAAGCUUCCUUUUCAAUCGAUAAGGCAUAGAGGGAAGGAAACGACUCACACAGAGGGGCAUCCCCACACCAUCUAUCCCUCCAAAACCUCACCCUCCUUCCAUUGCCAACACUAAAACAAAUCCGCGCACCCACCAAAUCCCAGUCCAUUCUUAUUCCCUUCCAAAGCCCCACGCCAUGCGCCUCUCUCACUUCCCGAGUGCACCAACCCCCUCUAUCUUCCCCAUACUUCCCUCUAAUCACUUGAUUCCACAAAGCCUCUCUCUCGUUUGCAAAACGCCAAUUCCUUUUAGAAAGGAGUACCUUAUUGAGAAUGGCAAGGCAUUUGAUCCCUAAACCCCCUUUCUUCUUGCUUAAGCACACCACCUUCCAUCUUACUAAAUGUGGUUUUCGCUCCAAACUGCCACCGCCCCAAAGAAAAUCCUUUUGGAUUUGCUCUAGUCUUCUUCUAACUGAACUUGGUAAUCUCAGGACAGACAUAUAGUAAAUGGGAAGAUUUGACAAAGUACUUCGGAUCAAGGUUGCUCUUCCUCCCUUGGAUAAGUAUUGUCUCUUCCACAUAGUCAAUCUUUUGCUGAACCGCUCUUCCACUCCAUCCCACACUGCCAUUGACUUAAACGGAGCACCCAAAGGAAGACCCAAAUAAGUGGACGGGAGACUACCCACUUUACAUCCAAAGUCCAAGGCAAGAUCAUCAAUAUCCACUACCCUCCCUACUGGAAUGAGUUCACUCUUGUCCAAGUUAAUUCUCAUCCCCGAAGCGACCUCAAACCACAUUAGCAGCCAACUUAGGUAAGUCAGCUGAUCUUGGGAGGCUUGGCAGAACACCAAAGUGUCAGCGGUAAACAACAAGUGUGAAAUCUGAAUCCCACCUUCAUUCCUUCCCUUCACCUGACAGCCCGAAAUAUAACCAUUGUCCACAACCCUUUUAAGGAACGAGCUGAAGACCUCCAUGGCAAUCAAAAAGAGAUAAGGCGAGAGAGGAUCACCUUGCCUUAAACCCCUUGAGCUUUGGAAAAAACCCUUAGGCGUUCCAUUAAUCAACACAGAGAAACUUGCAGUGGAUAUGCACCACUUGAUCCACUCUAACCAUUUCUCCCCAAAACCCAUUUUCUGCAUUACUGUAAGAAGAAAGGACCAAUCCACAUUGUCAUAUGCCUUCUCUAUGUCAAGUUUGCACAAGAUCCCAUUUUCAUUGUUCUUUAGAAUCGAGUUGAUGGCUUCAUUAGCUAUUAGCACCGCAUCUAGAAUUUGUCUCCCCUCCACAAAAGCCCCUUGAGCCUUAGAAACCACCUUUCCAACCGCUCUUUUAAGUCUAUUGGCUAAAACCUUAGCCAACCACUUGUAUAGGCUUUCCACUGAACUUAUGGGCCUGAAAUCCCUCAAAUCCUCAGCCCCCAUUUUUUUUGGGAUUAAAACCAAAAAAGUUGUAUUUAACCUUUUAACAAAUUUACCAUGUUCAUGAAACUCCCUAAAGAAUCUCAACACAUCUUCCUUCACAAAAUCCCAUGCAAACUGCCAAAAAGACAUUGUAAAUCCAUCAGGACCCGGGGCUUUGUCCCCACUACAACCUACUAGCGCACCGUGUACCUCUUCUUCCGUGAACGACACCUCUAAAGGCAUCAGCAUCCAGGUUCUGUAGCUGUUCACACUGCAGUCCAGCCAACGAAGGGCGCCAUUCCCCCGGAUUGGACGACAAGGUUCUAAAGGCAUUUACUAUCCCUUCACUCAUCCCAUUCUCCUCCGACUUCCAAACACCAUUAAUUCUUAUUCGUUCCAUGUUGUUUCUUCUCCUGUGAGCAUUUGCCAUCCUGUGGAAGAAGCUCGUAUUUCUGUCCCCUUCUUUCAACCACACUUCCCUAGAUUUUUGUCUCCAAGUAACCUCUUCUAAAAGAACCCAUUUUUUGUAUUCUUCCCUCGCCUCUCUUCUAGCCUCCAUCUCUUCCAACGUCAAUCGGCUUGUCUUCUCCUUUGCAUCCCAGAACUGCAUCUGAUCCAAAGCAACAUUUUUCCUAUACUCCACCUUGCCAAAAACGUCUCUGUUCCACUCCUUCAGUUUAGUCUUCACCACCUUUAGUUUUUCAGCCAGAACAAAGCUUGCAGCACCAUUAAAGUUAUCCCCCUCCUACCAGGCUUUCAAUAAAUCCUUAAACCCCUCCACCUUAAGCCACAUGUUCUCAAAUCUGAAAGGGGAUGGUCCAUUUCUCAAGCCCCCUCCUUCUAACAGAAUUGGGAAAUGGUCUGACACUGGUCUCAGUAGAACGCUUUGCCUUGAAUGGCUAAAACGGCAAUCCCACCCUUCAUUGACCAAGAUCUAUCUAGUCUUGAAAGGGUUUGGUUGUUCACCCCUCNCUCCAGUGAAAGGACCCCCAAACAGANNNNNNNNNNNNNNNNNNNNNNNNNNNNNNNNNNNNNNNNNNNNNNNNNNNNNNNNNNNNNNNNNNNNNNNNNNNNNNNNNNNNNNNNNNNNNNNNNNNNGGUUUGGUUGUUCACCCCUCCACUCCAAGUGAAAGGACCCCCAAACAGAGGCAAGUCCUUUAACUGUAAUUCUUCUAUUACAUCUGCGAAUCUUCUCAUAUCUGAAUUAAAGCUCCCUCCUCUACUACGCUCUUCAGGACUUAGGAUAGCAUUAAAAUCCCCAGCAACACACCACGGCCCAUUCCAAAGGCCGUAGAUGGCCCCCAGCUCAUUCCAAAGACUUUCCCUAUCUCUCCUCUUAGUCGGACCAUAAACCCCUGUGAAGGUCCACGUAAAGCCAUCCUCACAAUUUUUAAAAUGGCAGGAAAUUGAACAUUCUCCCUUUUCUAGCUCGAUCAUCUCCAGCACCCUAUUAUCCCAAAACACCACUAUGUCGCCCGCUGAUCCCCUUGAGUCCACAGUUCCCCAAUCUAAGAACCUUCCCACCCCUAUACUCCGAAUAAUCCCUCUUGUCAUCUCCUGUAUUUUUGUUUCCUGCAAACAAACCAAGUCCACCUUAUUCUUCUUAAUCAAGGCUUUAAUCACCUUUUUCUUGUCACAAUUAUUUGCCCCUCUAACAUUCCAAGAUAGAAUUCGGAUCUUCAUUUAAUUUUGGAAGAACUGCCCCCCCCCCCCCCCCCCCCCCUUCUCCUCCAAUGUAAUUCACGGUCCAUUCCAACUUCCUCAAUUCCCUUUCGAAUUUGGAGGAUUCCAUUUUUCUCUUUUUCCUACCAGCCAGGUUCCCCUUUUUCCCCUUCUGAAGUUUUCUUUCUUUCAUUCUUUUGAGCAGAAGCAGAAUCUCUCCUUCAAAGCCCUCCGUCGGCAUCCCGAGGCAUCGGCUGAACCUAGCCAAGCAACUGGACUGCCAACACUGCUCACCCACUUCGUUUCUCUCUUCCAUAAUUUCCUGAUUAUCCCAUCCCACCACUUUGUCUACCUCCUUUCCAACAGUCCCGAGAGCCAUCCCCGGCGACCCUAGGACCUCUGCCUCCCUUCCAUCCGCCAUAAUCAUCCUUAGAGGGUCCAUGUCUAUUCCCCGAAGUCACUGCCCCCAACUGAAUCGACAAUCAUCUCGUCCCACCCAGAAAGAGAAGAAGAAGAAUAGAGAACCCGCUCCCCAAACGAAAAAAACAUCCCGAGGACAAGAAGAUGUGUACCUGGCCGCCUCCUCCUUUAGAACUUCGUCGGUAAGCUCUUUGAAGUUACAACCCGGAGAGGACGAGCCCUGUAGGGCGCCGACCAAAACCCUAUCAGGCCACCCAUAUGCCUCCUCCCGACAAGCCUCGCGAGCCCUAACACCAGCGGGAACUAUGGGAUAAGAGAUGGGAUGCCCAAACCCAGCUGAGCCCUUAUGUGGAACCAACUGGGGGCGGCCCAUUUCUUUUGCAGGAAUAUUUGGUAAUGGGCCUAAAUGGGGCGGCCCACAUACCUCAAGUCGGUCCUCCUCAGUUGGCCCCUUCUGGGCUUUUGGCUUUGUCACUUUUAAAGGUGGGCCUAAGAGAUCCAGCCCACUAACUUCUUUGAUGGCCACCGGGAUCUCCUCACUGGGCCUCCUCUCCGCUUCUGAAUCCAGGACCCAGCCUGACCUACCAUUAGCUUUAACUGCAGGCCCAACUUUUGGCAAAUUCUCCCCACCAUCCUUCUGCCUCUCUGCCACUGCCCCUCUUGUCUGUAUCAUGUCAGAAGAAGUAGUCUCCAAGGCUGGUCUGCAGCUACUUUCUCCAUCUUCAGACGGCACUGCCAUCUUUUCAAGUUGUCCCUUUGCUUGCACCAUUUCCACCGCACAACCAGCGCGUGUCUUCCCCCCUUCUUCUUCCCUAACCUCCAACUUCUUCCCCGUCCCAAAUCUGCUAGCUGGAAUCACAUCAGUCACCCUUGGCAACAUCUCCCACCAAAGUUGAAUAGCGUAACAGGUAGUGCCGAUUACCACUUGCAGAGAGCUUGGCCCUUCUAUCCCCUCCAAUUUCACCAAUAUUCUGGCCCAUUGUAGCUCCUUUAAUGCACCGGUACUUUCAUCCACUGCAACAAAUCCCCCACAACAGUCUCCAAUCUUUUUAAACACUUCCCGGCUCCAGAGAUGCAGUGGUAAUCCCAUCACUCUCACCCAAACUUCCUUAACUUGUUCGCGACUCUGAGAACAUCCCACACUUGGGUCCCAUCUUUCCAAAUGUAUAACCGAUUCCUUAAAGCGCCGGAAGCCUCGUUGUAACACAUUAUUUGCCUCUGCUUUUAACUCAAACACAAUCAGAAAACAAAAGCCCCCCAUCCUUGCUAUCCUCAUUCCUCCUUGGAGUUUCCAGUGAUGUUUUCCCCACUUUUCCAUAUCUCUCAAGUUAGAAUCCAUAACCCCCGUCUCUCCCCAACUCCCAACCAAGCAGCGGUCCAAAAACUCCCUUCCUUUUGCCACAUCUUCUUCUCCCAGUUGAAUCCACACUGCCUCCCCUAGCCUUUUUUCUCUUGGAACUUCUCUUGUAUUCACUACUUCAACGUAGGAUUUCUCUUUCUUCCCCUAGAAGCCCCAACUUUGCUCUCAGUCUUAUGGGAUAUAUCUGCUUCCCUAGUCUCAUCUCUUGACAAUAUUCCUAUUGAGCGAAGUUUUUCAGCCAGCAAGGCCCAUCCUCCCAAAAAACCUUUACCUUCCGGGAACACCAAGCAAUGUCUCUUUGCUUCCGAAUCAACCACAGAACAUAAUAAAAACCUACCGGCAUCAUUUGUUCAACAUUCUAGUCUGAACUUCCUACCUCCAUCCUCCCACCUUUUUACAAAACUCUGCCCACCCUCACCCCUACAACUAGUCUCCACUCCCUCCAACAGCCAGCCCAAGCUGGACUCCCCAAAUCUGAUCCACGAAGUGAAGCCUCUGCUUCUUUCCACAAUAAUCCCCCUUUGUUUCUUCCCAAACACCUCCACAGAGAUUUCAAAAGUCUUUGAGUCUAUUGCAAACCAGCAGCUCCCACCUCUUUCCCCCCCCCCCCCUACCAUUCUACCUACCUAUCCACCAAUUAUAUAUUCACAUAAUAUAUAUAUAUACACACACGCACAUUGAAUUUUCCUUCUUUCUUUCUUUUUUUAACAGGCCUUAUGAUCAGGCCAAACAGUUGAGCCAGUUGAUCCAUGGGCUGUUGAUGAGCCAAAAGAGACUUUAGCUUGUCAUGCUCUUUGUUAGAAACCUGAAUUUUCCUAUUUGAGGUCUCUUGUAUAUAUUUAUGUAAUAUAUAGUUGUAAAUUAGAUUAGGAAAGUGUGUAUUAAGAAGAAUAAUCUCUGAUUUAUAAGGAUUGUCCUGAUUUAUAGGGAUUAUUAGUUUAUUUUUUUUCCUUAAAUUUCUUUGUAAAUAUAGGAUAUAAAUAGCUGAUUGAAUAAGAAUUUUUACCACUUUCUCCCACAUGGUAUCAGAGCCACUUUGACAGUCUUCAUCAGCCUUCAUUGCUGAUUUUAGUUCAAGUUUUUCAGCCUUCAUUUCUGAAGAUUUCAAGCCUAAUUCUUUCAGCCUUCAUUGCUGUGUGUUUUGUUUAUUUCUUUUUUCAUCUUUCAUCCGUUCUACCUGCAAUUUUUGGGAUUUCACCAUGUCUAAUAUGCUUGAGACUUUUGCCACACCCAUAGCUCUCUUUGGUGAAACUUUGCCUCAUCAAACCAUUGGAGAGUUAUAGAAUAUCAAUUCAGCGUAUCGGUUGAAUGGCUGAAACUAUCUCUAAUGGUCUCAACUAGUGCGAACUGUUUUGAAAGGGAAAGACAAACUAAGUCAUCUAAUCGGCAUAGGUCUAGGGCUUGAAGAUCCGAAGUUUAAUCAGUGGGAUGAAGAGGAUUCCAUGAUUAUGUCUUGGUUAUGGAAUUCUAUGUUGCCCAAAAUCAGUGGCAUUUGUAUGUUCCUCACCAUGGCUACAAAGAUUUGGGAGACAGUAAGACAAACUUAUUCUAAGGUACGUGAUGCGGCUUAGAUCUAUGAAAUUAAGCAAAAAAUUUCAACCACUAAACAGGGAACAAGAUCGGUGAUUGAAUAUUAUAAUCUCAUGAAAAGUCUUUGGCAAGAAAUGGAUUAUUACCAAAAUCUUCUAAUGAAAUGUAGUGAAGAUGCCACAAUGUUAAGAAGGUUUGUUGAUAGGGAGCGGAUUUUCAAGUUUCUUGUUGGCCUUAAUAUUGAAUUUGAUCAAGUUCGAGUUUUGUUGGAAAACCGAAACUGAUAUGAAAAGAAAUAACUUUGUAAAGCUGUAAAUUAUUUAUUAGUUGUCAAUUUUUGUAUUUUUAGGAAAGUAAUUAUUAGGAGUUAUUUAUUAGUUGUCAAUCUUUGUAUUUUUAGGAAAGUAAUUGUUAGGAGUUAUUCUUUCCUUUUAAUCAGUGAUUUAGUUUCCUAAUUUGAAGGAUUUGUAUAUGCUGUAAACUCUAUAAAAGAAUAAUCUCAAUGAAAGAAAAUUAUUCCCGUGAAACCCUAUUCUUCAACUUGGUAUCAGAGCUAGCAAUUUGCUUGCCGAAAUCCUCCUUUUUCCUCUCUUUCAAUCCCUGUUCUCUAAAACCAUGUCGGAUAUUUCAAACGAGUCCACUAUUGUUCCUCAACCUUCUCUGAACAAUCCCAUCAUCACUGAUUCUUCAAAAAUCAGUCCUACCACCUCGGAAUCUCACUCUGUCCAAAUCACCACAAUUCGCUUGAAUGGUGACAACUUUCUGAGAUGGUCUCAAUCAGUUUGGAUGUACAUCAGAGGACGUGGAAAGAUGGGCUACCUAACGGGUGAAAAGAAGGCUCCUACAGUGGAUGAUCCGAACUAUGCUAUAUGGGAUGCUGAGAAUUCCAUGGUGAUGACAUGGCUUGUGAAUUCUAUGGAAGAAGACAUUAGCUCUAAUUACAUGUGCUAUCCAACAACACAAGAGCUUUGGGAGAAUGUAAAUCAGAUGUAUUCUGAUUUAGGGAAUCAAUCACAGUUCUUUGAAAUUAACCCUCAAACUUGGUGAAAUACGACAAGGGGAGGACAACGUCACAAAGUACUUCAACUCCUUGAAGCGGAUUUGGCAAGACCUUGACCUUUUCAACACCUAUGAGUGGAAAUCUGCCGAGGAUGGACUUCAUCAUAAGAAGACCAUGGAAGACAAUCGGAUCUUCAAGUUCUUGGCUGGCCUUAAUGUCGAGUUUGAUAAGGUAAGGGGGAGAAUCAUUGGAAGACAACCCCUGCCUUCAAUUGGUGAAGUUUUUUCAAAAGUUAGAAGAGAAGAGAGUCGGAGGAAUGUGAUGCUGGGCAAGAAGGGACCUGGAGUUGCUAUUGAAGGUUCAGCCUUGGUUACCAUGGGUGGAGGCUAUAAUAAAGCUGCUGCGUUUCAGCGCAAAUCAGAUGAAAGACCACGGGUUUGGUGUGAUUUUUGCAACAAACCUCGCCAUACUCGUGAGAACUGUUGGAAAAUCCAUAGGAAACCUGCAAAUUGGAAAGGAAAAAUAGGUGACAAACCAGGCCGAGCCAUUAUUCCUACUGCUAAUGAGGUUGAGACCAACCCCUUCACCACUGAGCAAAUGGAGCCUCUUCUUGCACCGCUGAAAUCCAACUUCACAUUCGGUACUUCUAGUGUUUCUUUGGCACACACAGGUAAUGAAUUAUAUGCUCUAUCUUGUCGUUUUAAAUCUACUCCAUGAAUAAUCUACUCCACGAAGGGAAGAAGAUGAUGCAGUGAGAAAGGGGAAAGCUUCUGAGGUUCAGACGAGAGGCUCUACGAAGAAGGAAGAAAAGUUCGGUUCAAAGAAGCUGUGGACUACCCUUUUUCCUCCAAGUUUUGAUUGCCGACAAGGACUUCAAAGCCGCAGCAAGCCUCUUUUGCUUGGGAAGUCAUCGUCAGAUAGCGAAGAAUGUCAAAAGGAAGAGGAUUUUGGGGCGGGAUCUCAGAUGGAAUGAGGAUUUAGAGUGAGUCUUUUCUUUCACUGUCAAUCGUCAAGGUAUCGAAAUCAGUGUUCGGGGGAAGGGACCUCGUCGUCAAAAGGCGAAGCGGGUUUGCGCAAACCCCAUUUCGAAGAAGACAAAGACGGUUUUUUGGGCCAAGUGGGGUCCGAUCUUCGUGGUUCAUCAGUCACGCAUUUGCCUUCUAAUCCAAAAAUCAGAGGUAAAGGGGUCAACUUUAAGGGGAAUUGUGAAAUGUCGGUAGUGGAAAACAUGGAGGUAUUCCUGUCUUCACCUUCUCAGUCACCCGAGUCUUCUUCUCUUCCUUCUUGUGGCUUGGCACUUCCUUUGCCGAGUCCCUCUGGUCUAGAUCUUCCUAGUUCAAUCUCUCAUUCUCAGUCUCCUAUGGAAAACCGAGUAAUUUCUAAAAUUUUUUCUAAAAAAGACGUUGGCACUUUUUAUCAAAAAUAUGUUGGCAAUCCUAUCCGAGAUGAGGUGGAGGCCCAGUUUGCUUAUUCAAACCAGUUGUCCGAGGGUUUUAACCCUAGUAAGUCUAAACCCAAUCUGCCUAAGGAGGUUUCCAACCUGGUUUCAGUUAGCCAGGGUGAUACUGUGGUCUCCCCAUCAGGCGAGUUCCAAUUAGAUGGCCUGUCCCCUAGGAAAAUGGCUAAAGUGCGUGAGGUUUUAAGUUUUCUGGAUAUUAAGGUUUAUUCUAGGAGGAAGAGUAGAUGCUCCACAGGUAUGUGAGACUUGGUGGAACUGGUUUGGUGGUUUAGGGUCUGUGAGGUUUAUCCAUGAAAAUAAUAAGUUGGAAUACCAGGGGUUUGGGAUCAAGGAAUAAGGGAAGGGUGGUUAAAGAUUUUCUGAGGUCAGAGAAUUCGGAUGUUGUGAUGAUUCAGGAAACAAAAAAGGUGGAGUGUGAUAGAAGGUUCGUGGGUAGUGUUUGGACAGUUAGAAAUAAGGAAUGGGUUGCUCUUCUGACGUGCAGGGCUUCAGGUGGGAUUUUGAUUAUUUGGGACUCUAAAAAUCUGCGCAGUGAGGAGGUGGUGAUAGGAUCCUUUUCGGUCUCAGUCAAGUUUGCUUUGGAUGGUUGUGGACCUUUUUGGCUAUCCACAAUUUAUGGCCCAAACAACCCCUCAUUUAGGAAGGAUUUUUGGGUGGAGCUUUUAGACAUUUUUGGCCUAUUUUUCCGUUAUGGUGUGUGGGCGGUAAUUUUAAUGUCAUAAGGAGAAGUUCAGAAAAAUUGGGUGGUUCUAGUUUAACUUCAAGCGUGAAGGACUUUGGUGGUUUUAUAAGAGAAUGUGAAUUGCUUGAUCCACCUUUACGGAACGCAUCAUUCACUUGGUCAAACAUGCAAGAGUCCCCCGUGUGUAAGAGAUUGGAUAGUUUUCUUUACUCAAAUGAGUGGGGGCAUUUCUUUCCUCAAAGCCUUCAAGAAGCUCUUCCUAGAAGGACAUCGGAUCAUUGGUCGAUUAUUUUGGAUACCAAUCCAUUCAAGUGGGGCCUAACUCCUUUUAGGUUUGAGAAUAUGUGGUUGCAACAUCCUAGUUUCAAGGAGAGUUUUAGAAGUUGGUGGAGAGGUUUUCAAGGAAAUGGGUGGGAAGGUCACAAGUUCAUGAGAAGAUUACAAUUUGUUAAAGCUAAAUUGAAAUAGUGGAAUAAGGUUUCUUUUGGAGAGCUAAAUGAAAGGAAAAAAAGCAUCCUCAAUGAUAUAGCUAACUUUGAUGCCAUUGAGCAAGUAGGGGGUCUCACUUCUGAACUUUUAGUUCAAAGAGCCUUAAGAAAAGGGGAGCUAGAGGAAUUAAUUUUGAGGGAAUAAAUUUAUUGGAGACAAAAAGCUAGGGUGAAAUGAGUUAAGGAAAGGGAUUGUAACUCAAAAGUUUUCUCAUAAAGUGGCUAAUGGUAGACAAAAUAGGAAAUUUAUUAAGGCAUUGGAGAAUGAAAGUGGCUUAGAGUUGAAUAAUCCCGAGAGCAUCACAGAGGAGAUUUUACUGUACUUUGAAAAGCUCUACGUGAGUCCUAUUGGAGAGUCUUGGAGUGUUGAAGGUUUAGAUUGGUCCCCUAUUUCGGAAGAGAGUGCGUCUAGGUUGGACUCCUUUUUCACUGAAGAAGAGAUUUCUAAGGCCAUUUUUCAGUUGGAUAGGGAUAAGGUGCCGGGGCCUGAUGGUUUUACCAUUGCAGUAUUUCAAGAUUGUUGGGAUGUGAUCAAGGAGGAUUUAGUGAGAGUGUUUGCAGAGUUUCACAGAAGCGGGAUUAUCAAUCAAAGCACUAAUGCCUCCUUCAUAGUUCUAUUACCCAAAAAAAGCUUGACAAAGAAAAUUUCAGACUUUAGACCUAUUAGCUUGAUCACUAGUCUCUACAAGAUAAUAACCAAAGUGCUUUCAAGGAGUAUAAGAGGGGUACUACAUGAAACCAUCCAUUCUAGUCAAGGCUCUUAUGUUCAAGGGAGACAAAUAUUGGAUGCGGUUCUCAUAGCCAAUGAGAUAGUGGAUGAGAAAAGACGAUCAGGGGAGGAAGGAGUCGUCUUCAAAAUUGACUUUGAAAAGGCUUACGACCAUGUAAGUUGGGAUUUUUGGGAUCAUGUGCUGGAGAAGAAGGGGUUUAGUCCUAGAUGGAGGAAAUGGAUGAGUGGUUGUUUGUCCAUGGUAUCUUAUGCAGUCUUGGUGAAUGGAAAUGCUAAAGGGUGGGUUAAGGCAUCUAGAGGCUUAAGACAAGGCAACCCUUUAUCCCCUUUUAUGUUCACUUUAGUCGUAGAUGUACUGAGCAGGAUGUUAUUGAGAGCAGAGGAAAGAAAUUCGUUGGAGGGUUUCAGGAUAGGUAAGAAUAGAACUAGGGUGUCCCAUUUGCAAUUUGCAGAUGAUACCAUUUUCUUUUCUAACACUAGGGAGGAAGAAUUGUAGACUCUCAAGAGUCUACUGCUAGUGUUUGGGCAUAUUUCUAGGCUCAAGGUCAACCUUGACAAGAGUAAUAUUUAUGGCAUCAAUCUUGAUCAGAAUCAUCUUUCUAGGUUGGCAGAGUUGCUUGAUUGCAAGACUUCUGGUUGGCCUAUACUCUAUCUGGGUCUUCCUUUGGGAGGGAAUCCUAAGACUUGUGGCUUUUGGGAUCCCAGUGAUUGAGAGGAUCUCGAGAAGAUUUGAUGGGUGGCAAAAGGCUUAUUUAUCUUUUGGAGGAAGGGUAACUCUUGUCCAAUCUUGUCUCACCCACAUGCCCCGUUACUUCCUUUCCUUGUUUAAGAUACCCGUUUCAGUGGCUACAAAAAUUGAGAGAUUGCAAAGGGAUUUUUUAUGGUCAGGGGUUGGGGAAGGUAAAAGAGAUCAUCUAGUUAGUUGGGAUGUAGUGUGUAACCCGACGGCAAAAGGGGGAUUGGGAUUUGGGAAGAUUUCUCUAAGGAAUCUUGCGCUCUUAGGGAAAUGGUUGUGGAGGUACCCUAGAGAGGGUUCAGCUCUAUGACAUCAGGUUAUUUUAAGCAUUUAUGGAUCACACUCUAAUGGUUAGGAUGCUAACACUAUUGCACAAGUCUUUCAGGAGUUUUCCAAGUUUACUCGGUUUGUGGUAGGAGAUGGGGAAAGAAUUCGGUUCUAGGAAGAUUUGUGAUGGGGGGACCAACCUUUGGGAUCCCAAUAUCUAAGACUAUUUGGAGUAGUCUUGGAUAAAAAUAUUUCUAUUUCUUCAAUUCUUGAUUCUACUCGCCCUUUCUCUUGGAACUUUAAUUUCCAUCGUAACCUUUCCGAUUCUGAGAUAGAAGAUUUAGAAGGUCUCAUGCGGUCUCUUGAUGGUUUGCAUUUAUCACCUUCGGUUUUAGAUGCGAGAUCUUGACCUUUAUCUUCUUCAGGGCUUUUCUCAGUCAAAUCUUUCUUUUUAGCCUUAUCCCAAUCUUCUAGUUCUCCUAUAGUUUUCCCCACUAAGUUCGUUUGGAAUUCUCAAGUCCCUUUCAAAGGCAAGUCCUUUGUUUGGUUAGUGGCACACAAGAAGGUAAAUACUAAUGACUUGCUACAAUUGAGAAGACCCUACAAAGCUUUUAGUCCUGAUAUUUGUAAUCUAUGCAUGAAGCAUGGAGAAUCAGUAGAUCAUCUUUUCCUACAUUGCUCUUUCACGAUGGGGUUGUGGCACAGAUUAUUUCAGUUAGCCAACUUGGAUUGGGUCCCCCCGAGGAGCAUCUUUGACAUGUUGUCCAUCAAUUAUAAUGGUUUUAGUUUAUCUAAGAGAGGGAUAGUUUUGUGGUAAGUUGCGAGCUUCGCUUUAAUUUGGGUUGUAUGGCGAGAAGGAAACUCGAGGAUUUUUGAGGAGAAAGCAAGGAAUUCAGAGUAUCUUUGGGAUUCUAUUCAUUUCCUUGCUUCUCUUUGGGCUUUCUGUUUCAAGGUUUUUAAGGGGAUUCCCCUUAAUGGAUUGGGUCCCCCCGAGGAGCAUCCUUGACAUGAUGUACAUCAAAUUUAAUGGAUUUGGUUCGUCUAAGAGGGGGAUAGCCUUGUGGCAAGCUGCAAACAUCGCUCUUAUUCAGAUUGUGUGGAGGGAAAGAAAUGCGAGAAUUUUUGAGGAUAAAGCAAGGAAUUCAGAGUUUCUUUGGGACUCUAUUGUUUUCUUUGCUUUUCUUUGGGCUUAUUAUUCCAAGGUUUUUAAGGGGACUCCCCUUAAUGUGAUACAACUUGAUUGGAUAGCAGUGUGUACUCCAUAAGGAGUGGUCUUUUUAAAAGUGUUUGCUUGUUUUUCAGUGUAUUUUUCUAUAGUUUAGCUUUCUUUGGCAGGAGGAUUCCUCAUCCUUCUUUUGUACUUAUUUUUAUCUAUCAAUAAAUCUUUGUGUCGUUUCCAAUAAAAAAAAGAGGAUUCCCCUUAAUGUGUUACAACUUGACUGGUUAGCGGUGUGCAAUUCAAAAGGGUUGGUUUAACCUAGAGAGUUUGUUUGUUUUUUCUAUGUAUUUUCUUGUUUUUGUUUUCUUGUAGUUUAGUUUUCUUUGGUGGGAGGAUUUCUCAUCCUUCUCUUGUACUUCUUUUUUCUUUCAAUAUAUCCCUUUGUCGUUUCCUAUAAAUAAAAAAUAAAAAAAAAAUCUGAUGAGAGUGCGUCUAGGUUGGACUCCCCUUUUACUGAAGAAGAGAUUUAUAAGGCCAUUUUUCAGUUGGAUAGAGAUAAGGCACCGGGUCCUGAUGACUUUACCAUUGCAGUGUUUCAAGAUUGUUGGGAUGUGAUCAAAGAGGAUUUAGUGAGAGUAUUUGCAGAGUUUCACAGUAGCGGGAUUAUCAAUCAAAGCACUAAUGCCUCUUUCAUACUUCUGUUGCCCAAAAAAAGCAUGACAAAGAAAAUCUUAGACUUUAGACCUAUUAGCUUUGAUCACUAGCCUUUACAAGAUAAUAACCAAAGUGUUAUCAGGGCAUCUAAGAGGGGUACUACAUGAAACUAUUCAUUCUACUAAGGCGCGUUUGUUCAAGAGAGACAAAUAUUGGAUGCAGUUCUCAUAGGCAAUGAGAUAGUGGAUGAGAAAAGACGUUCAGGAGAGGAAGGAGUUGUAUUCAAAAUCGACUUUGAAAAGGCUUACGACCAUGUGAGUUGGGAUUUUUUGGAUCAUGUGUUGGAAAAGAAGGGGUAUAGUCCUAGGUGGAGGAAAUGGAUGAGAGGUUGUUUGUCCACGGUAUCUUUUGCAGUCUUAGUGAAUGGAAAUGCUAAAGAGUGGGUCAAGGCGUCUAGAGGUUUAAGACAAGGCAACCCUUUGUCCCAUUUUUUGUUUACUUUAGUCGCAGAUGUACUGAGCAGGAUGUUAUUGGGAGUAGAGGAAAGAAAUUCGUUGGAGGGUUUCAGGGUGGGUAGGAACAGUAUAAGGGUGUCCCAUUUACAAUUUGCAGAUGAUACCAUUUUCUUUUCUAACACUAGGGGGGAAGAAUUGUAGACUCUCAAGAGUCUAUUGCUAGUGUUUGGGCAUAUUUCUAGGCUCAAGGUCAACCUUGACAAGAGUAAUAUUUAUGGCAUCAAUCUUGAUCAGAAUCAUCUUUCUAGGUUGGCUAAGUUGCUUGAUUGCAAGGCUUCUGGUUGGCCUAUACUCUAUUUGGGUCUUCCUUUGAGAGGGAAUCCUAAGGCUUGUGGCUUUUGGGAUCCAGUGAUUGAGAGGAUCUCGAGAAGAUUAGAUGGGUGGCAAAAGGCUUAUUUAUCGUUUGGAGGUAGGAUAACUCUUAUCCAAUCUUGCCUCACCCACAUGCCUUGCUACUUCCUUUCCUUGUUUAAGAUACCUGCUUCAGUGGCUGCAAAAAUUGAGAGAUUGCAAAGGGAUUUUUUAUGGUCAGGGGUUAGGGAAGGUAAAAGAGAUCAUCUAGUUAGUUGGGAUGUAGUAUGUAAGUCGAAGGCAAAAGGGGGUUUGGGAUUUGGAAAGAUUGUUCUAAGGAAUGUCGCUCUCUUAGGGAAAUGGUUGUGGAGGUACCCUAGGGAGGGUUCAGCUCUAUGGCAUCAGGUUAUUUUAAGCAUUUACGGAUCAUACUCUAAUGGUUGGGAUGCCAACACCAUAGUCAGAUGGUUACAUCGUUGUCCUUGGAAGGCUAUUGCACAAGUCUUUCAGGAGUUUUCCAAGUUUACUUGGUUUGUGGUAGGAGAUGGGGAAAGAAUUCGGUUCUGGGAAGACUUGUGGUGGGGGGAUCAACCUUUGGGAUCCCAAUAUCCAAGACUAUUUAGAGUAGUCACGGAUAAAAAUAUUCCUAUUUCUUCAAUUCUCGGAUCUACUCGUCCUUUAUCUUGGAACUUUAAUUUUCGCCGCAACCUAUCCAAUUCUGAGAUAGAAGAUUUAGAAGGCCUCAUGCGGUCACUAAAUUGUUUGCAUUUUUCAUCUUCGGUUUUAGAUGCGAGAUCCUGGUCUUUAUCUUCUUCAGGGCUUUUAACAGUUAAAUUUUUCUUUCUUGCCUUAUCCCAAUGUUCUUGCUCUCCUCCAGUUUUCCCUACUAAAUUCGUUUGGAAUUCUCAAAUCCCUUUCAAAGUCAAGUCUUUUGUCUGGUUGGUGGCACAUAAGAAGGUAAAUACUAAUGACUUGCUACAAUUGAAAAGACCCUACAAAGCUCUUAAUCCUGAUAUUUGUAAGUUAUGCAUGAGGCAUGGAGAAUCAGUAGAUCAUCAUUUCCUACAUUGUUCUUUGAUGAUGGGGUUAUGACACAGAUUAUUUCAAUUAGCCAAGAUGGAUUGGGUUCCCCUGAGGAGCAUUUUUGACAUGCUGUCCAUCAAUUACAAUGGUUUUGGUUAAUCUAAGAUAGGGACAGUUUUGUGGCAAGCUGCGUGCAUAGCUAUAAUUUGGGUUGUGUGACGGGAAAGAAACGCGAGGAUCUUUGAGGAUAAAGCAAGGAAUUCAGAGAAUCUUUGGGAUUCUAUUCAUUUCCUUGCUUUUCUUUGGGCUUUUUGUUCCAAGGUCUUUAAGGGGACUCCACUUAUUGUGUUACAACUUGAUUAGCUAGCGGCGUGUAAUUCUUUUGGGUUGGUCUAGUCUAUAGUGUUUGUUCGUUUUCACAUUGUAUUUUCUUGUUUUCAUACUCUUGUAGUUUAGUUUUCUUUGGUGGGAGGAUUUCUCAUCCUUCUCUUGUUCUUCUUUUUUCUAUUAAUAUAUUCCUUUGUCGUUUCCUAUAAAAAAAAAUAUAAAAAAAUGAUUGUACUUGUGUUACUUGGAUCUUCCUUUUAAAACAAAAGUUGGAUGUGAGCAUUUUUUUUCCAAAUUACCAUAAUAUGGUCAAAAAUCAAUUUAGGGUGUCAAUUAAAUGGGUUAGAUCGGAUAAUGCAAAGGACUAUUUCAAUCAAACACUUUCAUCUUAUUUUCAAAAAGAGGGAAUUAUUCAUGAGUCUUCAUGUGUCGAUUCACCCUAACAAAACGGAGUAGCUAAGAGGAAAAAUGGUCACCUACUAAAUGUUACUAGGGCUCUCCUAUUCCCAAAAAAUGUUCCAAAAACCUAUUGGGGGGAGGUUGUUCUUACAAUUGCUCUUUAAAAAAUAGGGUUCCUUCUCGAGUUUUGGGUUUAAAGGAUCCUAUGGAAAUGUUCACAACAUUUUUUCCUUAGUUCAAUACAUCGAGUAAGCUUCCUCCUAAAGUGUUUGUGUGUCCCGUGAUUGUUCAUAUUCAUGCUCAUCAUCAAGGAAAGUUGGAUUCAAGAGCAUUAAAGUGUGUUUUUGUUGGAUAUUCAUUAACACAGAAAUGGUAUAAAUGUUUCCAUCGUCCAACUAAUUGUUUUUUUUUGUUUCCAUGGAUGCCACUUUUGUAGAAACAAAGGGAUAAUUUUCAGUUCCUUAUCUUUAGGGGGAGACACAAUCUAUGAAAGAUAAGGACAUGUUCUUGCUUGAGUUCCCUAACUCUUCCCCAUCCGAACUUUCAAAUACCCCAUCCAAACCUUCAAAUGGAACCCAAAAAGAGUUCAGAAGUCAUGAAAAAGGUCCAAAAAUUUCUAGCACACCUCAAAUAGCUACAACAAUCCCAAAAAUAGUUGAAACCUGCCCUAUUUUAGAUAUUGGAACAACAGAAAAGGAGUCGGAACCGAUUGCUACAAAGCCACUACAAGUUUAUUCAAGGAGGAGGGUGACUAAACGUAGACCCAUGCAAGUCCAAACAUUUGAACCAACUCUUGGAAACGAGGAACACAAUUAUAUUGCUCCUUUUGACUCACAUGAUGAUGUUGACAAUGUUGAUCUUCCUAUUGUCAUUAGGAAAGGUACACGUAAAUGCGUGCAACACUCAUUGUCCAAUUUUGUGUCAUUUGGAAAAUUCUCACCAUCUCAUAAAACUUUUCUUACCCAAAUAAAUUCCAUACCAAUUCCACAAACCUCAACCAAGGCACUUGGUAAUGAGAAAUGGAAACAAGCUAUGAAAGUCGAGAUGGAAGCAUUGGAGAAGAAUGAGACUUGAGAAAUUAUGGAGUUACCAAAAUGGAAGAAAGUAGUGGGUUGCAAGUGGGUAUUUACAGUUAAAUAAAAGACUGAUGGAUCCCUUGAAUGAUAUAAAGCAAGGCUGGUUGCAAAGGGAUACACACAAACAUAAGGAGUGACUAUCAAGAAACUUUUGCACAGGUAGCAAAGAUGAAUAUGAUGAGAAUUUUAUUAUAUUUAGCAGCUCAUUUUGAUUGGAAUUUGCAUCAAUUUGAUGUAAAAAAUGCCUUUCUCCAUGGUGAAAUUGAUGAAGAAAUCUAUAUGGGAGUUUCUUCUGGUUUUGGGGCAAGUUUAGACAAGAAUAAGGUUUAUAGGUUGAAGAAGGCCAAUUAUGGAUUGAAACAAUCUCUUAGAGCAUGGUUUGGAAGAUUUACAAAAGUUAUGUUAUCUCUAGGGUUUAAACAAAGCCAAGGAGAUCACACUUUGUUCAUUAAACAUUUCGAUUCAGGGAGGGUUACAACAUUACUAGUAUAUGUUGAUGACAUAAUCGUGAUCGGGAAUGAUUGAAAAGAAAAAGAGGCACUUCGGCAAUGUCUUGCAAAGGAGUUUGAGAUAAAGGAUUUGGGCAAAGUACAGUACUUUUUGCGAAUUGAAGUGGCAUGGUCAAAAGAGGGUAUUUUUGUAUCACAACACAAAUAUAUCCUUGACUUACUUAAGGAGACGGGAAAGCUUGGAUGUAAACCGAUUGAGACUCCAAUUGAAGCAAAUCAUAAGCUUGGGGAAGCAUUGGAAGACAAAGGAGUGGAUCGAGGUAUGCAUUAAAGGUUAGUGGGAUGAUUGGUUUACUUGUCACACACAAGACCAGAUAUUGCCUAUGCCGUGAAUGUAGUGAGCCAAUUUAUGCAUAAUCUGAAGGAGGUCCACUUACAAGCUAUCUAUAAGAUUUUACAGUAUCUUAAAGGUAGCUCAGGAAUGGGAAUUCUCUUCAGAAAAGGUACGGAUUUGUUCCUUGAAGCUUAUACGGAGGUUGACUAUGUUGGAUCAAUGGUAGGCAAAAGAUCAACAUCAGGUUACUGCACCUUUCUUGGAGGAAACUUAGUAACUUGGAGGAGUAAAAAACAACCAAUGUUGCAAGGUCUAGUGCAGAGGCAAAGUUUAGAGCUAUGGCACAAGGGAUUUGUGAGCUAUUAUGGCUUAAAAUUAUUCUUGAGCGCCUACGGAUUAAAUGGGAAGGACCCAUGAGGUCAUAUUGCGAUAACAAAUUAGCUAUAAACAUUGCUCAUAAUCUGGUACAAUAUGACUGGACAAAGCAUGUUGAGGUUGAUAGACACUUCAUGAAGAAAGUUAGGAAGUGGGUUAAUUUGCACUUCGCUUGUGUUGUCAGAUAGACAACUUGCAGAUAUUUUGACCAAGGGUUUGAUGAGCACAACAUUUCAAGCAAAUAUAAGCAAGUUGGGUAUGGAUAAUAUCUAUUCACCAGCUUGAGGGGGAGUGUAAGAAAUCUAAAUUUUCCUAUUUGAGGCCUCUUGUAUAUAUUUAUGUAAUAUAUAGCUGUAAAUUAGAUUAGGAAAGUGUGUAUAACUAUAAAUCAGAUUAUGAAGAAUAAUCUCUGAUUUUUAAGGAUUGUCCUGAUUUAUAGGGAUUAUUAAUUUAUUUUUUUUCCUUAAAUUUCUUUGUAAAUAUAGGAUAUAAAUUUGGAUUGUAACAGUUGAUUGAAUAAGAAUUUUUUACCACUUUCUCCCACACUCUCCAGGGUGGUUAAUACUCAUUGCAAUGUCACUAAAAUAGCCUAGGUUGUUGAUCCACUUUGACCAGACACUCUGAUUCUAAAUGGAAUCUUUUUAACUGAGAGAGAGAGAGAGAGAGUGGAGAUUCUGUCUCUCGUUAUUUUAUAUCAAUGCUCAUUAUAUUUCUAUCAAUGCCCGAUACCUUUAUAAAAGGUGAUUCUGUCUCUCGUUAUAUUUAUAUCAAUGUCCAAUACCUUUAUAAAAUUCAUUUUUUUCCUCUCAUUUACAAAAUUAUUAUUACUUUGUUCCUUUUUUCCAUUCUAUCUCACACUAUAUUUAUCUCAGCAUCCCAAUACCUUUACAAAAUUCAUUUUUUUCCAUCCUUAUCUGUGCUUAAAUAUGAUGCAUCAUAAAAAUAUUAUGGUACAAGAAAGCAUUCCCUUGCCUUACGAAAUUUAUAUGUUUUUGUUUCCUCAUUUUACCUUAUCUUUGUUUGGCAGAUGGUUUAUGUUUUGUCUAUUUACAACAAGAAAGAGAAGAACCAUCAAAUCAUGGUGCGUGGUUUUUCCAUUCCUUUUCUGUAAAAGUAGUAAAGAUAAUAUCUCUGAUGUCUUUCUUUCUCUUUACAGAUUUUUGGUUAGUGAAGUCAGAUUAAGUGGUUUACGUCAUUCACAUUCUAUUAACUCUCUUUUACUGCACAUUUUUAAUGAAGUAUCCAUAUCAUGUUGUUGUUCUAAGAAAACUUGAUUAUUUUAGUUGUGCUGAAAUUUUUGGGAUAUAUUUUUCUUUACACACAUAGUUAUUUAAUUUUUUCCCCUUUUUUCUUCUUUUCCUAGCAUGGUAUGCAUAUCCUCUAUCCAAGGCUAGCUUAGUUUUUUGAUCUUUUGGGUUGCAAUCUACCAACAUUGAUCUCCCAAAGUUUGAAGCUAUCAGCUCUCUUUGUAAAGUCUCAAAAUAUCUUCUCGUGUAUCAAUCUGCGAACAUUGGUUUAAACUGUGAAUCUCCCUCUGAAAUAUAUAUACAGAGAAAAAUUCCACCAGUAUUUUGUCAUUUUUGUUGUUGUUUCCCAGUGCUGUUGGCUGUUUAUUCAAGUUUUUGCCCUUUCUCACACUUGACAAGGUUUUGUCCUUUUUGCACAUCUGGAAUAUAUUUUUGUUUCUCCUUUAGAAACUAGGAUGAAACAACUCAACAAUGAAGCACUUCACAUAAUUAAGCAUGGAGUCCACAUAAAAAUAUUUUUACUGCAAUCAGCAUGUCAAAUUUUAAGUGGGGAAUCGGCCUCUGCAAUUUCUGAAGUGAGGAUUGUUUGUCAGAAUGUCAUAUGGCUUAUUUUCUUGUCUCCUUUAUUAUCAUGUUUUGUUCUAAUGUCAUUAUGUUUGCAUAUUGAAAGCUGAAAUUUAAUGGACUAUGAAUCUUUGAUGAAGAAAAUUAUUGAAGCGAUGUUCUUUGUUCCAGAUGGCAGCAUUCAAUAUCCAGGAGGCAUUAAUCUGGAAAGAAAAAAUUGAGGCUGUAAUUGAUCAGGUCCGUUUCCUUCAAAUUUCAUGACACUAGAAUCCUUUCUCAUUCAUUCCCCUCCCUCUCCCCCCUCUCUCUCUCUGUCUCCCUCUCCCUCUCUCCCUCUCUUGUUUAAUAAAAAACACAAACACAUGAGUGAUAAUGAGUUGUGUCACUGUAGUGGAUGUUUUUCUCAAAAAUUGUUGCUUCCCAUUCAUUACUUGGGUCAAAACAAAAUUGUUGCUUCCCAUCCAUUACUUUGGUUAAUGGCCAUUAGAUCUGCAAGCAUAUUGAUCUACAGCAUAGUUACAGGUCUUGUUUGGCAUUUUAUAUAAAUCUGUAAGAUUCUGUUAAUUAGACAGGCAACUGUAUUCAGGACUGAUUAUGUAUUGAUGGUGUUCAGCAUCAGGACUCACAAGUUGCAAAUGGAAAUAAAUAUAUUUCAUUUGAAUAUAAAUCUGGGAUGGAUAAUGGAAGGGCUGCUUCCUCAUCUGACCAUGAAAGUCAGUAAGUACCAAUUUUAACUUUAUUUAUUAUCUGCUUGUGGUUAUAAGUGUGUGGAUGCUAGUGAAAAAUGCUGUCAUGUUCUGAACCAUAUCCACAGUAUAUUUUCAUUUCUUUCCUUUAUGCUGCAAAGUUUGGAAUCUCUCCACAGGUAAACAUUUUCCAAUCCUGAUAAAUUUUUAGGGUUAAUUGGUUAAAGGGGUCAAAAUAACCCCCAUAUUUGCAAAUAUAACCCACUAGUCAAAAAGCAAAAAAAUUGACCUGAUCGAGACAAAAAUGCCCUUCUUAUUUUUUCUCUCCAACACAUACAACUUCUCAUUUCCCCUUUCCCCCUCAUUUUUCCCUCCAAGACAACUUUCCCUUUCCCUUUGUUUUAUAGUAGAUUAGGUUCUAAUUUUUUUAUUCGGUCAAUGGUUGCUCUUCUCUCUCUUUUCCUGUGGAGAUCAAGUUUAACUUCUUACGAUUGUUUCAUCUAUUCUUCAUUCUUGGUCACGAAAAUAUGAAAAAAAUGUAAGCAACCAACAAUUUCUUUUUUAUAAUAUUAAUUUAUUUCUUUCUGUUUCUUGAAAAUUCAAAAUCUCACUUCAACAUUAUAGGUAAAAAAUAGAGACUCCAUUGUUAGUUCUGAACAAGUGAAAAGUUCGUUCAAAGAAUUUUCACUUGAACUUAACAGUAGUUGAGUUGCAUUAACAAAGAACUUAACCACAAUUAAGUUCACAGUCAGAAUUUUCACCUGAACUUAACAGUAGUUGAAUUGCAUUAACAAAGAACUUAACCAUAGUUAAGUUCACAGUAAGAUAUUUCACCUGAACUUAACAAUAGUUGAGUUUCAUUAACAAAGAACUUAAGCACAGUUAAGUUCACAAUCACUGUUUCACAAUAGUUGGGAUUUUUGCUCACUAGCUUCGCUUUCCUUUGCUUCACUUUCUUCUGCUUCACUUUUUUCUUCUGUUCGCUUUAGUCUUGUGUAACCAAUUUAAUCUAAUUCUGUUCUAUCCAUCUAAAUUUGUAUGGAAAUCUAAUUUCCCAUCUAUGCUCAAGACAUUUUCUUGGCUAAUGGCACACAAGAAAGUGUACACAAAUGGCAUGCUACAAUUGAGAAAAUCCUACAAAGCCCUUAGUUAUGAUGUUGGCUUAUUGUGUAUGGAGAGUGGAGAAAUGAUGAAUCAUCUUUUCUUACUUUGUUUGUUGACUUUGGGGCUAUGACAUAUAGACUUUCCAGAUCAGCUAACUUGGACUAGGUUCCUCCUAGGAGCAUUUGUGACAUGAUGAUCAUCUCAUAUAAGGGAUUGGGAAGCUCCAUUAGAGGCAACGUUCUUUGGCAAACCACUUGUCUCACAUUUAUUUAGGUUGUUUGGUGGGAAAAAAAAUGGGAGGAUUUUUUAAGGCAAGGUGAGGACUUCAAAGGCUCUUUGGGUUAUCAUUCAUUUCUUUUCCUCCUUUUGGGCCGCUUUCCAAAUCCCCUUCCAUCUUGGGCUUGCACACUAUGUCUCAGCUAAUGAGAUGAUCUCUUUUCCUCCCCUAUCCAUGACCAUAGAAAAUCCCUUUGCAUUUUUUCAAUCUUUGUUGCUACUACUAUACAAUGAAAGGAAAUAAUUAGGAAUGUGAGUCAAGCAAGACUAGAUUACGGUAAUUCUUCCACCUAAAGACAAAAAAACUUUUUUCCAACCAUUUGAUCUUCUCUAAAUUCGGUAUUCUUGAUCCUAAAAGACACUAGCCUUUGGAUAGACCCGAAUAGGUUAUUUAGCCAUUCAUAAACCUUAUAUUUGAGCAUCGAAGCUGGCCUAGAAAUCUGAUUCUAACUCAUGUUGGAAAUUAUGUUUCUUAUAGACUUAAUCUACUUCAUUUGCACUUAUGCCAAUCAUUGAUAUGUGUUUAUAAAUCUGUGUUUGUGAUCGAUGUUUUUGUAAGUCUUUGGUGAUUUGGGAGAAAACCAGAACAAUUAAGUUAGUUGUUUUGAGAAUUCAUAAAUCUCCUCCCUCAAAAGAAAAAGAAAGACGUUCUUAGAGUUGUGGAAAGGACUAAUCUGGGGAGGAAGUUAGUGAUGAUAAAAAAGUGUGGUUAUUGUUAUUGUACUGGAAGUGUAUAAAGCUAUCACUUCUCAUAGAAAGACUAACAUGAGAACAAGGAACAAGAAGAAAAAUAAAAAGAAAAGACUUAAUAUAUUUUGUUUUACGAUACCGUGUUUUAUUUAAACAAGGAAAAGGCACCUAGGUCUAAUAGAUUCACCAUUACAAUGUUUCAGGAGUGUUGGGAUGUGAUUAAGGAUGAUUUUUUUCCAUGUACUUCCUCGAAAGUUUUUCUGAUUGUGUUGCUGUGAAUUCUACAAUUUGGUUUGAUACUUUUUUUUUUCUCUAGGAUUCAUUGAUAUUACUUAUGUUGAACAUAUUAUUUAGAUUACUCCACCUUUUUCUCAAAACAUCUUAGAUUGGGAAUAUUCCUCAUCCAUUUGAAAUUUCUGUAUAGGUUUAGUGCAGAGGAUGAUGAAGAAGAUACUCAUCGUGCUUUGGUUCGGAGAAAAACAAUUGGAAAUGGUUGUCUUUGAUUCCCUUUAUUUCUUGAUUCAUAACUGGUUCAGUAUAAUUCCUGUUUGAGUCUCAUCAUCUUCCUUUAACUGGCAGAUUUUCCUGACUCAGUGUUUGACUGGACUCGAGAAAUGGAUUCAGAAUUGUUAAACCAGGAUAUCAACAAUCAAGCCUUUUCCUCUGAUCAAAAAAAAGAAAAAAACAAUCAAGCCUUCCCCAAAAAGCAUUGGCGUCUUCUCCAAUGCCAAAAUGGUAAAUCAUUUUUGCAGCCAUUUGCAUUAUUUUUUCUGUUUAACACAGAGAUGAUAAUCAAGGAAUCAAGAUAACCUAUCCAGGGAGGGAAGUUAGACAAUUGAGUAACUGGCUAUCCCAUAAUUAAAUCCAUGAAUAAUUACAUUUCGUCUGGAUAAUUGCAGGACUUCGAAUUUUUGAAGAGCUUCUUGAAGUUGAUUACCUUGUAAGGCAUUGUUUCUUUAUUUCAUUCUACAGCCGUCUCAUGAUUUUGCUUUUGCAGUAGGCUAUUUCUCAUCAACGUAACAUGUACCUUUCCUUUUUGCAGCCAAGGAGCUGUAGUAGAGCAAUGAAAGCUGUAGGGGUUGUGAAGGCAACCUGUGAAGAAAUAUUUGAGCUUGUAAUGAGCAUGGAUGGAACACGGUUUGAGUAAGUUCUUUCUAUUUCAAGUAAAGAUUUUUAUGAAUUAAUUCCAAAUGGUCAUUAUUAUGGUCUUUUGAAGAAUGUAUUCUGUAUAUAUCAUCCGGCAGGUCUGCUUCAAACCUCAUUUAAGUUAUUUUCUUUUAGAAACUUUUCGCAUGUUCUUUCUUUAUAGCAUACAUAAAAGUGGUCAUGCCCCUAUGCAAGUCAAAGUUACAGUGAUGGGAAUUACUUCUCAUGAAAUUUGCCUCAUCUUUUACUGAUUUUUUGGACCAUUUAUUAAUUUUUUGAUAGGAUUUUCUUGACACCUUAUGAAAAGCAUAUACUCACUGACAUGAUUCUUAGUUUAAAGUUCAUAAUAUGAGCAUUCAUACAUGACAUAUAACAUGUCAAACCGAAUAUAUUUACUACCUUACGUGCAUUAGUUAUGUUUUAUGGUUAAAAUAUCCAAAACUUAUGAAAAUAAAUUAAAUAAUUUUUAGGGUUUAUUACACUUUACCCCCCUAAUUUAUAGCGCGUUUUGCACAUUGCCUCCUUGAGUUUAAAAUCGAGUAAUGUACCCUCUAUGCUUUAUAAUUGCAUGCAAUAUGCAUUUGUUGUACGACGACGUUAGCUAUAAUGAACGGAAGACACAUGUGCUAAAUAUGUGACAUGUUUAAAUGAGGGCAAAAUUGUCAUUUUGUUUUCAAAUCUUCAAAUCCCCAGAACCCCAACUUGCCCUCCUCCUUCCUUCGAUCGUCUGGUAGAUUCCUAAAUCCCCAAAUUGAAGUUGAAGCCAUAGAAUGGCCACUAUUGGAGGAAUUCAAGAUUCUAAUGGAUCUCAAAACGCACUUGAGAUUGAAAACCUUGUUCGAUUCGCCAUUGAUGAGCACAACAAGAAACAUGUUUUGUUUUUUAGUUUUUAAUCUCAUUUUUCCUUUCUCUGUUUCUGUUUGUUUCUUGAGAAAUUCUCUCCUUUUGUAUUUUUUUUUUUGUUUUUAAUCUCAUUUUUCCUUUCUUUGUUUCCGCUUAUUUCCUGAGAAAUUCUCUCCUUCUUCUUGUUCUUUUUUUCUUUUUUUUUGGAGGAAGGUAGAGUUUGGCUUAUGAACGUUUGCUUUUUUCUGAGGAACCAAACAAGGAUUUUUAUUUUUAAACAAAAUUCAUUCGUUCCAUAAGUACAAUAAAAUAUUAUUUUUAGGGCAAAAGAAAUGAUCAUUUGGUUGAUGGAAUUGAAGUUUUCAUUUUUUUAUUUUGUGAAAUAAAUCAUUGCAAGGAGUUAGAUCCACAAUUGAAUUUUUGUUUCCCUUCCUAGGGUUUUUGAGUAGCCAAACGAGGUGCUUUGUUGGUUUUUUUUCCUCUUUAAUCAUUCCUUGAAAAAUCAAUUUUUUAGAUGAGUUUCUGAUCAAGGAUUCCGCUUCUCAAAUAGUAGGAACCUCCUUUAUAUCCAUUUCCAAUUUUCUCUUUUAUUUUUGGUUGAUUUGUUUGAUUAUGUAAUUUGAAUUGAUUGUUUUAAUUUAGUUUUGAUAAAUUGAAAAAGGCUACUGCAAUUUAGGGAGACGAUCUCGACCCCAAUUUAGGAAGACGAUCGGAGGAAGGAGGAGGGUUAGGGUUUUAAAAUGAAAUAACGAUUUUGCCCUCAUUUAAACAUGUCACAUGUUUAGCCCAUAUAUCUUCCGUUCAUUAUAGCUAACGUUGUUGCACGACAAAUGCACAUUGCAUGCAAUUAUAAAGCAUAGAGGGUACAUUGCUCGAUUUUAAACUUGAGAGGGUAAUGUGCAAAACAUGAUAUAGGUUAGGGAGGUAAAGUGUAAUAAAGCCUAAUUUUUAUUUAUGGAAAUCUUUAAGGUGAAAUUAAUUCCCUCCUUUAAAGUAAUGAAAUCAAUACGAAGAUUUUUUUUUUGUCCCAUAGUUGUAGCAAAUGAUUGUCCUUCACUUUUCAGCAAUAUAAAUAAAGAUUUAUUGUGUAUUAAUUUGAAGCUCCUCUGCAAUAUAUUUUUAGCUUUACCAUGCCCUUGGGCAUUUAACGGUUCAAAAUUAUGAAUUUUGAUUAAGGAAAUUUUUUUAUUUUCAACAGUGUAUGAAAAUUUACAAUAGUUGGGAAUCAAGAAGGAUGAUUUGAAACUUAUAUAGAAGCUUUUUUUGCAUAUGGGAUUGUUUGUUGGGUUCACACUCAUGCUACCAUUUUUAGUUCUUUGAUCCCUAAUAUUAAAAGAUCUAUUCUUCUCAGUGACUGUCAACCAAUUAACCUUGUAGGAAGUUCAUGCAUAGCGAUCACCAGAGCUUUGUUAACAAUAAAUAAAUAAACGAGCUCUUUGAAGUUUGUUGUGAUAUGACAUGUUAUUCACUGAGGGGGCCUUUGUGAAGGUGGACAAUCAUAUAUUCAAAUUUAUGAGGACAGUGUUGGACAUUGUGGGAAGCUGGAUAAUGGGGAUUGGUUGUGAAAUUGGAGUUUCUUAGAUUAUGUGAGACAGAUUUUGGGGUUCUGUGAUGGAAGUUAAUAAGGGGUUGAAUGCUCUUUUGGGGCUUCAAUAGGUUUGGUUGGUUCAAUUUUAUGAGCUAACAAAUGUCUUAAGUAGAUCUACAUCCAUAGUGGAAUAGAAAAUCUCUUUCUAGGUUCCCAUUUAAAAGAAAUUGGCAGUCUCCUAUAUAGCAUCUAUGGUUUGCUAAUGAUGUGAUCAUUUUCAUCUCAAUGUGGAAAGCGUAAAAAUUUUGAAUUUUACUGCCUUUUGUUUUGAGAUAGUUUCUGGCUUUAAAAUUUAAGAGCAUUACUUUGUCACCAUCUGAAGAACUAUGUUAUGUGGACACUUCAAAAUACACAGGUCUGAUGACACAUAAUUAGGAUUUAAGGGUGUGGAUAUGGUUUGUUCUCUCUCUUCCACAUCCAUAUUCCCAAUGUGAGUGAAUGUCUAACAAGAGGAACAGAGGAUUGAUGGAGACAAGUGGCAGCCACCUUUAAAAUUUUAUCAGAGAAGUAAAGGAGUGGGCUCCAAGGCUCAAACUUUAAUUUGGCACUCUCUUGAUGAUAAUGGGCUUAGUUGGGAUCUUAUAUAAGUCAAUAUAGGUUUAGCCUAGAAAGUACUUUCAGAAAUUAAGUUAUGGGCCUAGUCAAUGGUUAUAAGUUACCAUUUUCAGUCAUUAUUAUUGUCAUUUUCCAAUAGUCUUUAAUGUGGUUAGUAGUCAGUCCAAGUUUGUCAUUUUCAAGUUGCAUUAUUAUUGUGUCUAGUUCCAAGGAGUUAUAAGUCUCUAGAAAAGUCUUAUAUAGUAGUUGAUUAGUUUUUUGAGAGGAAUGAAUGAAUGAAUGAAUGAAUUUUUAACCACUUUUUUCCUUUGUGUGAUGCAAAGAGUACUUGGGUGUGAAGCCUAAGGUUUCUAGGAGUGAUUCCUAAGGUCCUUUCAAUUGUACUCUCCUUGCAUUUUACUUUCUGUACUGCAUCACCAAAAAUCUAGUUUUCUAGAAGUUCCUUUAUGUCCUUGAUUCGUUCCUUUCAAUUAUGGUACUUCAAAUGAAUCAAGUACUAGGGUGCAAUAGGCCAUUGUACAAGUACUAGUUUUCAGCUGAAGAUAGGCAUGUAGAAAAUUACAUUGAUAAUGCAACUAUGUUUCCAAGUCCUAAGGUUUGGAUGUUAGAGAAGACACUAUUUUACACCUAAUCCACAUACUUGCAUGCAAAAAUUGCAAGGUAUUGGAGCAAAAUUGACAGUGUGGAAUAAGAUCACUUUUAGAGAUAUAAGAGAGAGGAAGGAUUCCAUCAUUAAGGAUAUUGCCAUGGUAUAGAUUCUCUUGAGCCAUCCUUAAGGGCUACGAAGAAAGUAGAGUUGGAGGAAAUGUUGUUAAGGACAAAGAGGCAUUGGAGGCAAAAAAUCUAGAGUAAAGAGGGCCAAGGAGGAGGAUUUAAUUCCAUAUAUUUUCAUAGAAUUAUUAAUGGAAGAAGGAAAAAGAAGUUUAUUAAAUCUUUAUUGAGUGAGGAUGGAACCAUGUUAGAUGACCAAGUUAGCAUUUUAAAGGAAAUCUUGAUAUUCUUUGAUGAAAUAUAUAGCAAGUCUAAUGAAGUUUUGUGGAGAGUAGAAGGAUUAGAGUGGGCCCCUAUCCACUUUUUUCAUUUCUUUUUUACUAUUUUAGCAUAUCUUUUGAGUAGAUUGAUGUUCAAAUAGGAGUUUGGUAUUUUUUAGGGCUUCUUAGUGGUAGAAGUACGGCAAUGGUGCUUCAUUAAUGGUUUGUUGAUGACACCAUACUCUUUUUUUUUUGAUAGGAAACGACAAAGAAAUAUAUUGAUAGAAUUAAGGAGUACAAAAGAAGGAUGAGGAAUCCUCCCACAAAAGCAAACUAAACAACAAGAAUACAAAAACAAGAUGCUAAAAGGUAACAACAAUGAACAAACUCUCUUAGCUAGACCACCCCAUUGGAGCUGCACAUUGCUAGCCAAUCUAGUUGCAGCACACUAAGGGGAAUACCCUUAAAAACCAUGGAGCAAAAAGCCCAGAAAAAAGCAAGGAAGUGAAUGGAAUCCCAUAGAUUCUCUAAAUUCCUAGCUUUAUCCUCAAAAAUCCUAGCAUUUCUUUCCCGCCACACAACCCAAAUUAUAGCAAUACACUCAGUUUGCCACAAAACUAUGCCUCUCUUGGAUUUUCCAAAACCUUUAUAAUCGAUGGUCAUCAUGUCAGAAAUGCUCCUCGGAGGGACCCAAUCCAUCUUAGCUAUCUGAAAUAAUCUGUGCCACAACCCCAUCAUCAAAGAACAAUGUAAGAAAAGAUGAUCUGUUGAUUCUUCAUGCUUCAUACACAAUUACAGAUGUCAGGAUUAAGAGCUUUGUAGGGUCUUCUCAAUUGUAGCAAGUCAUUAGUAUUUACCUUCUUGUGUGCCACUAACCAGACAAAGGACUUGACCUUAAAAGAGACUUGAGAAUUCCAAACAAAAUUAGUAGGGAAAACUGGAGAUAAAUUAGAAAGGUGGGACAAGGGUAGAAAAAAAGACUUGACUGUAAAUAACCCUGAAGAAGAUAAAUACCAGGAUCUCGCAUCUAAAACUGAUGGGGAUAAGUGCAACCAAUCAAAUGACCACAUAAGGCUUUCUAAAUCUUCUAUCUCAAAAUCAGAAAGGUUACUACGGAAAUUAAAGUUCCAAGAGAAGGGACGAGCAGAACCGAGAAUUGAAGAUAUGGGAAUAUUUUUAGCUGUAACUACUCUAAAUAGUCUUGGAUAUUGGAAUCCCAAAGGUUGGUCCCCUUAUCAUAAGUCUUUCCAAAAGCGAAUUAUUUCCCCGUCUCCUACCACAAACCGAGUAUACUUGGAAAAAUCCUGAAAGACAUGUGCAAUAGCCUUCUGUUGAAAUUUGGCAUUCAAAGUUAGGGUUUUAAUUUAGGAAAGUAUUUUAGGAAUAAAAAAGGAGAGAUCAUUUAGGAUAUUUCCUUAGGAUUCAGUUUCCUAAUGUUAGGAGAGAAUCAAGCUAGAUUGAUAUUUUCUUAUUCAGUCAUUUUGUGUAUAUAUAUGUGUAUGGUGUGUACCGAAUAAAAAAAAAAAAAAGGAAUUCAUAAAUUCUUCAUGGUAUCAGAGCCAGUUUUCUGAAACCCUAAUCCCUUCUGGCCGCCUCUUAUUCAGGCCAUCAUUCAUUCCGGCCAAGUCUCUCUAGCCAUCUCUCAAUCCGACCAUCUCUCUCUCUGGCCAUCUCUCAUUCCGGCCAUCAGUCCCUGUUCUCAGAGCCAAGGGAGAAAACGCUUUUUGGUCGGUCGAAUCGUCGUCAGAAAACAUUCACCGCCGGCGACAUCUUUUUCCCACACCACAAGGAGCGCCUGGAGGAGAUCUCCAAUUUUUCCCAAAGCACCGAAGCCAGAAAACCACCCACGCGCCGGCCACGCGCGUUUUUCUGGUCGGCGACUACAUCUCACGCACCGGCGCGUGAGCCACUUUUCGGCGACGCGCUUCCUCCUCCAGCCUCGCCUGACGCCGACUAGCCACCCUUCAUACCCGUUCUGCCAUCCGAGCCCUGCACGUGCCUCUUUUGGGGUUCUUUUGCCUCCGUGGGCCCUCUGAACAGUUUUCCGACGUCCUCCGACUAUUUUUUUCUCAACCCCAAUCCCUGCACGUGCCUAGGGAAGUGUUCUUCUACCUUUCCGGUGGUGCCACGGUUGUUUUUCUUUUCCAUUAGGCCGGUAUCUCUGAUUUUCUCCUUUUCCCAAUUUCCAGCAACCAUAUUCGGCUGUCUUCCUCAUCUCCAUGACAAAAUACGGAAUGGCAUCAUCACAAGUAUCCAGCGCCACGACACUAGAAUCAGGGGGUAGUUAUGAAAUUCCAAACCUUGGUGGCAGUGAUUCCUCUCCUAUUCUCAUCACAAGACACAAAUUAAAUGGCCAUAACUAUUUACAGUGGUCACAAUUUGUGUUGUUGUUCAUUUGCGGUAAAGGAAAGGAUGAGUAUCUCACUGGAGAAGCAGCCAUGCCAGAAACUACAGAACCGAGUUUCAGGAAGUGGAAGAUUGAAAACAGCAUGAUCAUGUCAUGGCUUAUCAAUUCCAUGAACAAUGACAUAGGUGAAAUUUUUUUGCUGUUUGGGACUGCAAAGGACAUCUGGGAUGCAGCCAAAGAAACUUACUCAAGUUUUGAAAAUACUUCAGAACUUUUUCAGGUUGAAUCAGCCCUACAUGACUUCCGCCAAGGAGAGCAGUCAGUUACUCAGUAUUACAACACACUCACAAGGUAUUGGCAGCAACUUGACUUAUUCGAGACUCAGUCAUGGAAAUGUUCGGAUGAUGCAGCAACAUACAGGCAAAUUGUGGAACAAAAGAGACUGUUUAAGUUUUUCCUAGGACUAAACAGGGAAUUGGAUGAUGUUAGAGGCCGAAUCAUGGGCAUUAAACCCCUGCCAAGUCUCAAGGAGGCUUUUUCAGAGGUUAGGCGUGAAGAAAGUAGAAAGAAAGUGAUGAUGGGAUCCAAAGAGCAACUUGCCCCAACAUUGGAUGCCUCUGCCCUUGCUGCUCGGUCAUUUAAUAGUAGUGGUGGAGAUCGUCAGAAACGGGAUAGGCCUUGGUGUGAUUAUUGUAAGAAACCAGGCCAUUAUAAGGAGGCUUGCUGGAAGCUUCAUGGAAAACCGGUUGAUUGGAAACCAAAGCCACGGUUUGACAGAGAUGGCAGAGCACACGUGGCUGCCAACUCUGAGAGCACAUCUGUUCCCGAGCCGAGUCCAUUCAACAAAGAGCAGAUGGAGAUGCUACAGAAACUAUUAAGCCAAGUUGGCAGUGGCAGUACUACUGGGAUAGCCUUCACUGCUAAUUGAGGAGGAAUGAAGCCGUGGAUAGUGGACACAGGUGCUUCUGAUCACAUGACAGGAGAUGCUUCCAUUCUUCAAAAUUACAAGCCAAGUAAUGGUCAUUCAUCCGUCCAUAUUGCUGAUGGUUCAAAGUAAAAAAUUGUCGGGACAGGUUCCAUAAAACUUACUAAAGACUUGUAUCUUGACUCUGUCCUCCAUGUUCCAAAUUUGGAUUGUAAUCUUUUGUCCAUUAGCAAAUUGGCCCGUGAUCUCCAAUGUGUUACUAAAUUUUAUCCAAACUCGUGUGUUUUUCAGGACUUGAAAUCGGGGAAGAUGAUUGGCAGUGCUGAACUGUGUUCCGGGCUCUACCUCCUCCCAUGUGGCCAAUUCUCAAACCAAGUCUCUCAAGCAAGUUGCGUACAGUCUCAGAGUAUGUUAGAGUCUUUCAAUUCUGUGUCAAAUUAUAAGGUCAAUAAAGAUAGUGAGAUUAUAAUGUUACACUAUCGCCUUGGUCAUCCUAGCUUUGUUUACCUUGCAAAAUUGUUUCCCAAAUUAUUUAUCAAUAAAAAUCCAGCAUCUUAGCACUGUGAAAUUUGUCAGUUUGCAAAGCAUACUCGAACAGUAUAUCCUCAAAUCCCAUACAAACCUUCGACUAUUUUCUCUUUAGUACAUAGUGAUGUGUGGGGUCCCUCACGAUGGUUUGUGACAUUCGUUGAUGAUCAUACACAGGUAACAUGGGUUUUCCUUAUGAAAGAAAAGUCAGAGGUCGGGCACAUUUUUCAAACCUUCAAUCUUAUGGUUCAAAAUCAAUUCAAUUCCAAAAUUCAAGUCCUCAAGUCAGAUAAUGCAAAGGAAUACUUUACUAGUAGUCUCAGUACUUAUCUUCAAAAUCAUGGCAUUAUCCACAUAAGUUCUUGCGUUGACACCCCACAACAAAAUGGGGUGGCUGAAUGCAAGAAUAGACAUCUCUUGGAGGUUGCCCAGUGCCUUAUGUUUUCCUCUAAUAUUCCAAACUAUUUUUGGGGGGAAGCCAUUCUCACAGUUACCUAUUUGAUUAAUCGUAUGCCAUCCAGAGUGCUUACCUUUCAAUCCCCACGUCAACUUCUCUUAAAAAAAUUCCCUCACACCCGUGUAGCCUCUUCUGAUUUACCACUCAAAGUAUUUGGUUGCAGGGCAUUCGUUCAUGUGUAUCCUCAAAAUCGUAGCAAAUUUGCUCCUCGAGCCAAUAAGUGCAUUUUCCUAGGGUCUUCUCCAACCCAAAAAGGUUACAAAUGCUAUUCUCCAACCAACAAAAGAUUUUACACCACCAUGGACGUCUUUUUCUUUGAACAUGUCUUCUUUUAUCCCAAAUCUCAUGUUCAGGGGGAGAGCAUGAAUGAGCAUCAAGUUUGGGAGUCUCUUCUUGAGGUUGUAUCUUUUUCUCACUCAGAGUCACCAAAUCCUUCCCAAUUCGCGCCCACUGAGUUGUCCACACCCAUGCCGUCAUCAGUCCAGCCAGCCCAGCCCACAAAUGUUCCUUCUCCCGUGACCAUCCAGUCUCCCAUGCCUAUUCAACCUAUAGCCCCACAACUUGCUAAUGAGAACUUACAAGUUUACAUCAGGAGGAGGAAAAGACAGGAAUUAGAGCACGAAUCACAGCCAACAUGUGGCCAAUAUAUUGACUCUAUUUCAAGUCUACCUGAAGAGAACAUAGGUGAGGAUAGGGCUGGAGAGGUGUUAAUUCCCAGCAUUGAUGAUUCUACUCUGCUGAUUGCAUUGAGGAAGGGUGUUAGGAGAUGUACAGAUCAUCCAAUUGGGAAUUAUGUUACGUAUGAAGGGCUAUCACCAUCUUACAGAGCAUUUGCUGCUUCUCUUGAUGAUACUCAGGUUCCCAACACAAUACAAGAGGCAUUCAAAAUUUCAGAAUGGAAGAAGGCAGUACAAGAUGAGAUUGAUGCACUUGAGAAGAAUGGGACAUGGACUAUCACAGAUUUGCCGGUUGGGAAGAGGCCCGUGGGGUGCAAGUGGAUUUUCACCAUAAAAUACAAAGCAGAUGGAUCAGUCGAGAGAUUCAAGGCUCGUUUGGUAGCAUGAGGGUUUACACAAUCCUAUGGGAUAGACUAUCAGGAGACUUUUGCUCCUGUUGCAAAACUGAACACUAUCAGGAUUCUUCUCUCAUUGGUUGUCAAUCAAGAUUGGUGCUUGCAACAACUGGACAUAAAAAAUGCGUUUCUAAAUGGUGACCUAGAAGAGGAAGUCUACAUGGAAAUACCACCUGGUUUCGAAGGAAGUAUGGCAAAGAAUCAGGUUUGCAAACUCCAAAAAUCCUUGUACGGCCUUAAACAAUCUCCCCGAGCCUGGUUUGAUAGAUUCACAAAGGCAGUCUUGAAGCUGGGCUACAAACAAGGUCAGACUAAUCAUACUCUAUUUGUCAAGAAGUCUCAUGCCGGGAAAAUGGCCAUAUUGAUAGUCUAUGUCGAUGAUAUUAUUCUAUCUGGGAAUGAUAUGGAGGAAUUACAGAAUUUGAAGAAGUAUUUGUCAGAAGAGUUUGAAGUUAAAGACCUUGGAAAUUUGAAAUAUUUCCUUGGUAUGGAAGUGGCUAGAUUAAGGAAGGGAAUUGUAGUCUCUCAAAGAAAAUACAUACUCGAUCUUCUUAAGGAGACCGGUAUGCUUGGAUGCAAACCAAUUGAUACUCUUAUGGAUAGUCAGAAGAAACUUGGUAUCGAGAAAGAGAGUACACCGGUAGACAGGGGGAGAUAUCAGCGACUCAUCGGGCGCUUGAUUUAUCUCUCACACACUCGGCCAGAUAUUGGCUUUGCAGUGAGUGCUAUAAGUCAAUUCAUGCAUAGCCCCACUGAGGAACACAUGGAAGUAGUUUACAGGAUUCUUAGAUAUUUAAAAAUGACACCAGGGAAAGGUCUAUUCUUCAGAAAGACAGAGUAUCGUGACACUAAAGUAUACUCAGAUGCGGAUUGGGCAGGAAACAUCAUUGACAGGCGGUCCACUUCUGGAUACUGUUCUUUUGUCUAGGGAAAUCUUGUUACCUGGAGGAGUAAGAAGCAAUCAGUUGUAGCCAGAAGUAGUGCAGAAGCUGAGUACAGUGCACUAGCACAGGGAAUCUGUGAAGGGAUUUGGAUAAAAAGGGUUCUUAGUGAACUGGGACAAACGAGUUCAUCUCCGAUUCUGAUGAUGUGUGAUAAUCAGGCAACUAUAAGCAUAGCAAAGAACCCCGUGCAUCAUGACAGAACCAAGCACGUUGAGAUUGACAGACACUUCAUCACAGAGAAGGUGACUAGUGAGACGGUUAAAUUGAACUACGUUCCUACCAAGCACCAAACUGCAGACAUCCUCACCAAAGCUUUACCUAGGCCUAACUUCGAAGACUUAACUUGCAAGUUGGGAUUAUAUUAUAUAUAUUCUCCAGCUUGAGGGGGAGUGUUGAAAUUUGGCAUUCAAAGUUAGGGUUUUAAUUUAGGAAAGUAUUUUAAGAAUAAAAAAGGAGAGAUUAUCUAGGAUAUUUCCUUAGGAUUCAGUUUCCUAAUUUUAGGAGAGAAUCAAGCUAGAUUGAUAUUUUCUUAUUCAGUCAUUUUGUGUAUAUAUAUGUGUAUGGUGUGUACCGAAUAAAAAAAAAAAAAGGAAUUCAGAAAUUCUUCACCUUCCAAGGGCAACGAUGUGACCAUCUGACUAUAGUGUUGACAUCCCAACCAUUAGAAUGUGUCCCAUAAAUGAUUAGAAUGACCUGAUGCCACAAAGUUGAACUCUCCCUAAGAUACCUCCACAACCAUUUCCCUAAAAGAGAAAUCUUCCCAAACCCCAAUCCCCUUUUUGUCUUCGGUUUACACACUACAUCCCAACUAAUAAGAUGAUCUCUUUUACAUUCCCCAACUCUUGACCAAGGAAAACCCUUUACAAUCUCUCAAUUUUUGUAGCCAUUGAAGCAGGAAUCUUGAAGAAGGAUAGAAAGUAACUAGAAAUGUGGGAUAGGCAUGAGUGGAUAAGAGUUAUCCUACCUCCAAAAGAUAAAUAAGCCUUUUUCCACCCAUCUAAUCUCCACGAAAUUCUCUCAAUCACUAGAUCUCAAAAGCCACAAGCCUUUGGAUUCCCUCCCAAAGGAAGACCCAAGUAGAGUAUAGGCCAAUCAGAAACCUUGCAAUCAAGCAACAAGGCUAAUUUAGAGAGAUGAUCUUGAUCAAGGUUGAUGCCAUAAAGGUUACUUUUGUCAAGAUUGACCUUAAGCCCAUAAAUUUGCCCAAAUACUAACAAAAUAAACUUAAGAGUUUGUUGUUCUUCCACACAUGUGCUAGAAAAGAAGAUGGUAUCAUCUGCGAAUUGCAGAUGAGACACCCUUAUUCUAUUCUUACAGUGAAACCCUCCAACAUACUUCUUUCCUCUACUCUUAACAACAUCCUACUCAACACAUCAAUGACAAUAAUAAACAGAAAAGGGGAUAGAGGAUCACCUUGUCUUAAUCAUCUAGUUGCCUUGACCCACCCUUUAGCAUUUCCAUUCACUAAAAUUGCAUAAGAGAUCGAUGACAAACAACCUCUCAUCCAGGACCUCCAUCUAGUACUAAACCCCUUCCUAUCCAACACAUGAUCCAAAAAAUCCCAAUCUACAUGGUCAUAAGCCUUUUCAAAGUCAAUUUUGAAGACAACUCCUUCCUCCCCUGAUCGUCUUUUCUCAUCCACUAACUCAUUGGCUAUUGGAACUGCAUCUAAAAUUUGUCUCUCUUGAACAAAAGCACCUUGAGUAGAAUGGACUUUUGUUAUUAUCUUGUAGAGACAAGUGAUCAAGCUAAUAGGUCUAAAGUCUGAAAUUUUUUUGUCUGGAUUUUUUUAGGCAAAAGAGCUAUGAAGGUGGCAUUGGUGCUUUGAUUAAUUAUCCCGCAUCUGUGAAACUCUGCGAACACCCUCACUAAGUCCUCCUUGAUCACAUCCCAACAAUCUUGAAACACUGCAAUGGUAAAUCCAUCAUGCCCCGGCUUCUUAUCCCUACCUAACUGAAAAAUGGCUUUAGAAAUCCCUUCUUCAGUAAAAUGGGAGUCCAACCUAGAAGCACUCUUUUCUGAGAUAGGAGACUAAUCUAAGCCUUCUACUCUCCAAGACUCUCCAGGAGGACUCGAGUAGAGCUUUUCAUAAAAAAGUAAGAUCUCUUCUGUGAUGCUAUCAAUAUUAUUCAACACUAAGCCUCUUUCAUUCUCCAGAAACUUGAUGAAUUUCCUAUUUCGUUUGCCAUUAGCCACUUUGUGAAAAAACUUUGAAUUGCAAUCCCCUUCUUUUAUCCAUUUCACCUUAGCUUUUUGUCUCCAAUGAACCUCUUCCCUCAAAAUUAAUUCCUCUAACUCCCCUUUCUCAAAGCUCUUUGUGUGAAAGUUCAGAAGAAAGAACCCCUUCUUGCUCAACAGCAUCAAUGUUAGCAAUAUCACAAAGUAUGUUUUUUUUCCUUUCCUUUAGCACUCCAAAAGAUUCCUUAUUCCACUCUUUCAAUUUGGCCUUAACAAAUUGUAACUUCCUCAUAAACUUAUGACCUUCCCAACCAGCUCCCUGAAAGCCUCUCCACCAACUUCUAAAGCAAUCUUUGAAACUAGGAUGUUGCAACCACGUAUUCUCAAACCUAAAAGGAGUUGGCCCCUACUUGAAUGAAAUGGUGUCUAAAACAAUCAGCCAAUGAUCCGAUGUCCAUCUAGGAAGAACUUCUUGAAGGCUUUGAGGAAAGAAAUGCUCCCACUCAUUUGUGUAAAGAAACCGAUCUAAUCUCUUACACACAAAUGAAUCUUGCAAGUUUGACCAAGUGAAUGGGGCGUUCCUUAAAGGGAGGUCAAUUAAUUCACAAUCUCUUAUAAAUCCAUCAAAGUCUCUCAUGCUAGAAGUUAAAAUAGAGCCUCCCAAUUUUUUUGAAAUUCUCCUUAUAACAUUAAAAUCACUGCCCACACACCAGAAAGGAAAGGAAAUGCCAUAAAUGUCUAAGAACUCCACCCAAAAUACCUUCCUAAGUAAGGAAUUGUUUGGACCAUAAACUGAGGACAACCAUAGGGGUCCACAUCCAUCCAACAAAAACUUAACUGAGACAGAAAAGGAGCCUAUUACCACCUCCUCACUGCAUAGUUUCUUUGAGUCCCAAAUAAUCAAAAUCCCUCCUGAAGCCCCACAAGUCGGAAGAGAAGCCUACUCCUUAUUCCUAACCGACCAGACACUACCAACAAACCUUCUGUCAUACUCCUCUUUUUUGUUUCCUGAAACAUUACAACAUUCGGAUUCUCAAGAUGCAAAAAAUCUUUAACCACCCUUCGUGUUUUCGUAGAACCCAAACCCCUAGUAUUCCAACUGAUGAUCUUCAUGAUAAAAACCUCUCUAACCCUAAACCUCCAAGCCAUAUGCUACAGGUCUCAAAUACUUGUGGAGAAUCUGCUCUUCCGCUUGGAAUACACUUAAUAUCCAAAGAACUUAAGACCUCACGAACUUUAGCCAUUUUCCUAGGAGAAAGACCAUCUAUUUGGAACCCACCCAAAGAGGAAAACUCAGCUUUAAUCGGGCAAUCUGUAACAAGGUUAGGGGCCUCAAUAGGCAUGUUAAGCAAGGUCUUAAGGGAGUUAAAACCCUCAUACAAUUGGUUCAGACAAACUAAUUGGGAUUCCACAUCAACUAGGUUAGGAUUGCCAACAAAAUCUUAACAUAAAUCACCAUCAUCAUUUUUUUUGGAAAACAUUUUAGGUGCAACUCGACAAUUCGUAGGAGACUGAGACGGAAUUACUGAACUAGGAAGACUGGGAUCAGAAGAAGUCAGAGGUGGAUGAGCCAAGCCAUAGGAGGGGGGAAAAAUGACAAAGAUGAUUGAGAAAGUGGAGCAAAAACUACCUCAUUGUUUUCCACUACCAUCAAUCCACAAGUCCCCACAGAGGUUAGCCCUUUUUCACUGGUUACUGGAUUAGAAGGAAAAACCAAGACUGAAGAGUCGUGAUGAGCAAAACCCCCGAAACCCUCAGAGUUUUCUCUAUCUACAACGUUAGAAAAUUUGCACCAUUUUGCCUUCCCCUUUGAAUGAAUAAAAUAAGAGAAGACCUUUGAUGAUUAUCCGCAUCACCUCUUGACGACGAAGCCCCUUCCCCAGAACAACUGCUUCGGAACCCCAACGGACGACUAAGAAUGAGAGGACUCGAGCUAAACCUUUGCACCAUCUGUGUUCCCGCUUCGAAAGCAACGUCCUUUAGAGGGGCUACAAAAUCUGAAGAUGGAAUCUCUUGCGUUAGAGGCUCGCUUCGUCUUCGCCCCUUGUCGGCAUUUAGAAAUUGGAGAAAUAUGACUAGUCCACAACUUCUUUGAACCAAACUUUGUCAUGGAACCCCUCAAUUGAGAAGAAGAGACCACUAAGACCGACUUCCCCUUUCCCAUUGCAGAUGAGUCUUCACUGCGUAAAAAGCCCUUCCUAGAGUUGGGCUGCUUUCCAUCCAUUUCUUGGCCCAAAGUUGUCACCGGGCCUUUUAAAUUAACACCCCUCUCCCAACCCAUAUUUGCUUCCACCACUGGCCUAGGUUUUUGAGGAGAAUGGGCCCUUCUCUCUUGCAGUGCAUUAGAGGCCCGGUGCCAUUCCUCAACACUUGAGUGGACCUUAACCCUUCUGACCCUAACUUCACCUAACAGCUUUGGCCCAAAGGACCCUAUUCUCUCUUUAUUUGAAUUCAAAUUUAACGGAGAUGAAGGUUGGACACAAUUGUUCCCUUCAUCCGCCCUUCUCUUGCCAUGUGUCCUCUCAGCCUUUUGAUUUCCUACACCAUCUUUCAAUUUGUCAGCUGCCCCAUUAGAAGACCAUCCUUUAGCCGUUGAUUUAUUCUUCUCAACCAGCCUUCUACCACUUGUCCACGAGUGAGACUCACAAUCCCCUCAAGUUGACUCACUCAUUUCUCUAACUCGCCUUUCUUCUCCAGCUCCAACCACUGCAAUUGAUAUUGUAAAAACCCAACCCCCAUCUAACACCUCAAUCAAUGCAGGAAGGACUGAAUGUUCCUUCAUUAAAAUUCUCACCCUUGUCUUACAGAGAUCAUACAAUUUCAUCGUUCGCCAAUCGAUCUUUGUCACUGUCCCCCACUGCUCUACAAUUUUAUUUAGAUGUUCCAUUAACCAUAAAUGAAAGGGCAAACCCCGUAAUUGAAUCCAUCCUUCUUUGAACUUCCCCUCUACUUUUGAGUUUUCCCUUGGCGACCACCUUCUCAAAUGGGUUGUAUACCCUCCCUUAACCUUGAGAAACCUUAACUCUUGGAGAGAGAAGGCUUCCUCAAUAGUUUCUACAAAAAAUAAACCUUUUCCGCCAGAGAAAGGGACGAUAGUCACCACACCUUUUUGCCCUAAGAAUUUCGCCAGAGCACGGCCAACCCUAGCCUAGUUGACAAAAGCAGCGGGACAUUCACAAACCACGGCUCUCGCCCAUCUCCCAACUGGAACAAGGCCUCCUCUCCUCGGUCCUUCCUUUUUUACUACAUUCACAAAGGACCCACUUGUUUGUAAUUUAUGUUUUCAACCCUGCACUGCCUUUCCUUUUCAACUAUAUUCGAAGAGGGGACCAUCAGCAUUGAAGAAAAAGCAUUUUUUAGUUGCUCCCAUCCCUUGCCCCGCUCGCCCUCAGGGAUUACCAGGAAAGUUGACCUUUUGUUGGAGGCAAACUUCGAAAGCCUUAUAAACCUACCGUGGUUGUUGAAGCAUACCUCCAUUAAAUGAACUUUGGACUUUCCUCUGUAUUUUCUGUUGAAACCCAUGUAAGUCUUCAGCUCGAUAGCCUUUGCCAAAUGUUUGAUCAACCAGCCAACCUCUUCCUUCUCAAAGCCUGAGGCGAAAACCGAGCCUCUGCUAUGCUCUGUAAGCGAGCACCAAAUACCUCCGGACUCACCUUCAAACCUAACCAGGAAGGUCUUCCUCUCCACAGAGACUUUCAGCGUCCUCACCAUUUUUUACUUUUACCAUGCUCUUUUCAAUAGCUAGUUUAAAUGAUUACAAGGCCUUAACUAAUUUUGUUGGUAUUUGAGCACAUUUCAAGUUUGAAGAUAAAUUAAGACAAUGAGGAAAUAGGGUUGCUUUUGAAAAUGAGGAUCUAUCGGUCCAAAGGAUGGAAUAUUCUCUUGUUAGCUAUUUGUGGUCUUGGUUCAAAUGUUGCAUAGUUGAAGGGCCUAAUUCUUUAAUCAACUUUUUUGAGUGGGUGGGCUAUAGGUGAGAGAGGAGGGGUUAGUUUUUUGUUUCCCUCUUCCUUUUUUUUAGUCUAUAGGUGCUCGUUUCUAUACCUCCUGUAUGCUUUGAGUUUCCCGUUGGGCGCCCUGUUCUUUAAUAUACUCUACUGUGACUUUGCCUAUAAAAGAAAAAAAAAAAGAAGAUAAAUCUAGACAAUGGUAUCUUGUUGGGUAUCAAUGUGAGUUUAGCCUAUAUCUUUUUUGGGUCUUCCUUUAGGGAACCUUAGAGCCAUAUCUUUUUGGGAUUUAGUUUUGGAUAGGAGUUGCCGAUGGUUAGAUGGUUGGAAAAAGGCCUACUUGUCUCUAUGUGGAAGAAUAACAAUAGUGUAGUCUUGCUUUUCCCAUGUCCCCCUCAUUAUUAUUAUUAUUAUUAUUAUUUUAUUCUUAAACCUCCAAUUAAAGUGGGUUAUACAAUUGAGAGAUUACAAAGGAACUUUCUAUAUUUAGGUGUUGGGGAAUGGAAGAGAGAUCAUUUUAGGGAUCAAUGUCUAAGCUAAAGGGAGAAGGGGCCUUGGAGAUUAGAAGAAUGACUUUGAGGAAUAGAGUCUUUUCAGGGAAGUGGUUGUGGAGGUUUCUUAAGGAAAACACUACUUUAUGGUACAACAUUUUUUGAAAUUUACGAGCCACAUUCUUACUGAUGUGAUGCUAAUGUUGUUGUUACGUGAUCUCAUCAAUGUCCUUGGAAGGUCAUUGCACAAGUGUUCUUUGGUUUCUGUCAUUUUACUCGGUGUUUAGUGGAUAAUGGUACAAAAUUCACUUUUUGGAGGAUAUUUGGUGGAGUGCCCUUUUGUGUUUGGCUCCCAAACCUCUAUAGAGUAGUAAGGGCGAGAAAUUCAUGUAGUUCUUCAAUUUCCAUUCCAUUCUCCUCUUCAUUAUGGAAUUUUAAUUGUUUGCACAAUGUUACCGAUGAUUAAAUGAAGGAACUCUAUAAUGUUGACUUUAGUCCAUGUGUAUUUAUUGCUCACAUUCUUUGAUAUGAGAGUUUGAUCUUUGACAUCCUAUGGUUUAUUUAGUCUUAGUCAGUUUAUUCUUUAGAACCCUCUUUGUUUCCACCAAUUUAAGAUCCUUUCUCUUGGAAAAUUUCUUCUAGAAAUCUAAAUCUCUAUCAGAAGUCAAGGCCUUUGCAUGGCUUGUGGCAAGUAGGAAGAUUAGUAUCCUUGAUUUGUUGCAGAUAAGGGAAUCUUUCAAAGCCUUUACCCUGGAAUGGUGUGCCCUUUUUUUCAUUUUUUUUUUGUAUUUUCCAUUAGCAUUAACAUUAUUACGUAAGUUGUUUGGACUAUAAGAUUGAUUGGGUUCCACCUAGGAGUGUGGUGGAGAUGCCAACAAUUUCCUAAAGGUUUUGGAUGUCUUCUAAAGGAAACUCAUGGUAUAUUGUUAGUUUCACAUUAAUUUGGAAUAUAUAGCUGGAGAGGAAUGCAAAGAUUUGAAGGAUAGAUGAAGAAUUUUAGAGGCAUUGUAGAAUUCAAUCUAUUUCUUCUCUUCCAUUCGACAUCAAGUAGUACAUCAUUUUUGGGCACUCUUUUGAGUGUUAUAUUGAUACAUUGGACAUAAUAUGUAGUUUAACUAGGUUGGCUAAGAAGAUACUCUCUAAAUGGACUCCCCCAGUAAGUUGUGUCAACUUGAAUUUUGAUGGUUGCUCAUUAGGAAAUUCAUAACAAUUAGGAGUUGGAGGAAUGUCUAUUGAUCAUCAUGUAACACUAAUGAGAAUAUUUUCUAAAUAUAUUAGAAUUGGUCUAGAAAUUGUGGUGGAGAUUCUAACCUUGCUGAGAAGUUGGUCAAAGUGGAGGGUCUUUCCAACCUAAUGCUGGAGUGAGAUUUUGCAGUAGUCCUUGGUUGAGUAAGAAAGAAAGAAGCUAAUGGAAAUUUGACGGGUGGCUUCAUUAAACUUUUUAUUUUGCUUGAAGGAUGGGAUGCUUCUAUUAUUGGAUUCCUCAUUCAUCUAUAUAUUAACAAAGCAGGGAGCCAAACUUCUGUUCUCUUCUGUAGGGGGUAUUUUGGAAUAUGUUAGCAAAACAUCGAGCCAAACAUUUGAUCUCCUUUGUAGGGGUUUCUCUACCUCUCUGAAUAUCGAUUUUGUAAUUGUAUCCACUUUUCAAUGUGCAAUGACCUAUGGUUUCUAAAGUAGAUAGUUUUUUUCCCCUACUUUUGAUUAGAGUAGUGGUUGUUUUUAUAGAGGAAGGAUUUACCAUACUUUUUUGUACUUAUUUCAUAGUAAUGAAGUGUUUUCUUCUGAUUAGAAAAAAAAAAAAAAUAGACAAAUACUUGAGCCAUGCUAGAUAUCCUACAGUACAUGAAACAAUAUAAUGAUCUAUUAGGACUCUAAUUCUUUUCCUAGAGCUUCUAAGUCUUUCAAAAAGUGGAAUGAAAAUAUAGAAUGGAAACUUUCCAAAAUAGAAAGUUUAAAUAUGUUGGAACUCUAUAUUUUUGCUCCGUGGUUUUUAAGGGUAUUCCCCUUAAUGUGCUGCAACUAGAUUGGCUAGCAGUGCGUAACUUCAAUGGGGUGGUCUAGCUAAGAGAGUUUGUUUGUUGUUGUUACCUUUUAGCUUCUUGUUUUUGUAUUCUUGUUGUUUAGUUUGCUUUUGUGGGAGGAUUCCUCAUCCUUCUUUUUUACUUCUUAAUUCUAUCAAUAUAUUUCUUUGUCGUUUCCUAUUAAAAAAAAAAUAAAAAAAACUCCAUAUGAUAAGAGACUUCCACAAAAGUAUAACUUUUCAAUUCUAAAUAAGACUCAAAUAGGAAAAAGGAGUAAGUUCAGAAAGUAGGAAGUUCAAAGUGUAUAAGUUUCUUAAAACAAAAAUAACAAGACUUGCCAAGCUCUAAAUAAGACUAAAAAAACCAACUACUACUAAUUAUGACAUCAAAGAAUUAAAAUGUGUGAAAUUAUACAAAUGCCCUUGGACAAAUCAAUUUAGGAUUUCUUUGCUUCUUUUCUUCCUUUGCUUGGAGACCUUGAAAGUUUAGUCUCAUCACCAAGGCUAUAUGUUUUUGUUUUGUAUUUUUUUGGAUCUUCCUUUUUGUUUUUUUCUUCUGAGGUGACUAUAUUACAUCAAUUAUCUUAUCUUGAUGUUGGUAGAUGAUUGUCAUUUCCUGUAUUUACCUACUUUUAAUUUGUUCCAAUAGUGAGGAAGUAGUGGAAAGAAUCUUUUCAAUUUUCUGAUAUAGGUUUAUUUUUCUGAUUCCUUUCCAUGAUCUUGUUACUUGUUGAUCUCCCAACCAACAGCCCUGUAGAGUUUAUCUGCAAAAUGGAAGUCCCUCAUAAAGCUUAAGCUUUUUCAUGGGCUAUAGCUUUAUAAAGUUUGAUCAUAUUGUAUAUCUAUUGUUACAUCUCAUGAAGUAACAAAUUUGUGGGGUGAGCUUUAGGUCCCAUACUGUUCUCAUGUCAUAGUUGUUGCUCUCUGUCACUGUAUGGGAGGUUAAUAACUGAUCCUCAACCAUUUGACGGUCUGUUUGUAGGAAUCAGUAGUUGAAUGACACUUUUUUCUGAUAUUAUCUAAUGCUGAAAUAGAUAUCUCAUUUUGUUUUUGAAAAAUAAGCUUUCAUGUGAAAGGGUCAUAAAGAUGGAAAGUGCAUCAUUUUAUUGGCAUUGUAUCAUGAUAUAUGAUAGUCAGAUUCUUAUCCUUAAAAAUAUAGCUGUCCUUAAGAUGACAUGGCAGUUAGAGCCUGUUAGUAUGUCCAGAACUUUAAACUCCUAUCCAAUAUUUUAGCUGGAAUGCAUGUAAUAUUUUGUUCAUGCCCAUCUCUAGAACACCCAGUAUUUGGAAGUCAAUAAAAUUAAAAUGGUUAGUAGUACUAUUAUUUUGUUCAAUUUAAGAACUGUAUUACAUGUAGUACUUUUAUUAGUGUGUGAAAUAUAUGAUAUGUCAAUGGUGAUUCAUACCUGAUAUGCCACUUUCUCCAAUAUAUUUUAGACACAUUGCAGUUAGUGCCUUUACUAGAGUCCAUGACUCCAUGUCAUAUGACUUUCCACCCCAAAAAAAUCAAGCCAUAGUAAGGAAGAGCCUCUUAGUCACUUGAACAAGGUUACUAUUGGAUUCUAACACCUUCAAAUUUUUGUGAUUAGCUAAAACCUAUGAUUUCUUUUAUAUGUGUGCACUUUUUCAUGUCAUUAACUUUUCAUGUCGUGAGUAGGUGGGAUUGCAGUUUCCAAUAUGGCAGCUUAGUGGAGGAGGUAGAUGGACAUACAGCUAUUCUCUAUCAUAGGCUUCAGCUGGGCUGGUUCCCUAUGUAAUAUUCUCUCAAGUUAAAUCUCUUUAUUUAUGCUUCAUAAUGUUACAGAAUCUAGUAAUCGUAUGAAUGCAUACAAAAUUUCGUUGUUUUUUCUGUAUCAACAUUGUUAAAACAUGGCACUUUUGUGCAAAUUCAGAUUAAAGCUUUUACUUUACCUCUCUCUAGUUUGCAUGUAAUUGCGCUUUAGAUUCAUAAUCGAGUCUUUUGAUUUAUCUUAUAACCCUCAUAUGGGAGAAACUUCAAUUAUCAUUGAUUGCCACAGUUGGGCAUCACAGCUUGUAGUCGUGUAUGGAGACCAUAUAUACACUAAAUUUGGACUCGGACUAUUACAGUAGUUGGGCCCUACAGGUCCAACAAUGCAGUUCAAAAAGCCAAGUCUUGAAUUUCUCAUGGCCAGGUAUGAUGCAACUUAGCAUGGAUGCUUAUCCCUCUGGUGGAUUCUGAACACUACCCCUGAUCCCAACUACAUUGAAGUCUAUUAUUGUGGUUGCCUGGGGAGAUCUCCUGAUAAAUCCUCCUCAAAGUUUCUGAGGCAUGGAGGUCUGAGGAUUCAACUCCUUCCUGGUAUGGUAAUAAGGCCUGGGGUUUUACACAAACCUGUUGUACCUUAGUGGUGGACAUAGCCACUUUGGUGGAGGGAUAAUUUGGAUGGAUAGUAGGUUUUUAAAUCAUGGUUAGAGGUUAAUUGAGGAAGUUGCAACACAUGGCUGGAACCUUGGGAGCUGUUAACCUCACUACUUCACUCAUUUUCAUACCCUAUUACUUGAUAUGUUGCUUGCCAAGUUUGCAUCAUGUGCUCCUCUAUCACAAGAUCUGCACAUGGCAUUGCUCACCAUUCACUGGCUUUCAGUACUGUAGACUGACCCCUUGAAAGUAGUUUUCAGUUAUAGGAGCUCCUGGGGGGUGGGGACUAGAUAUGUAUGCAACGGAUGUGUACAACAAAGGGGGAAAAAGAACAAAUUCCUCAUUCAUUGUAAGCAACCUUGGGCUCAUGUUAGAUAUUCUUAGUUACAUACCAUUUUAGCAAAAGGGACAAAGUAGGAAGAAAAUGAAAAUUAGUUAUCUUGCCCAAUUUCUGGGGAUUAAAAGAAUCUGAUAUAGACACAAGUCAACACCCAACACUCGUACUCAAGUUCAUGUUGAAACAGAUUGACACCUGUUGACUGGGAGUAUCUCUGGGACAGAUUGGCACCUGUGGACCAGGAGUAUCUCCACAUGUCCAAGCCUCCUGAUUAGUUUGUUCAUGAAGGUUUUAAACCAAAUCUCAGCAGAGAUGAGGAAAAUUUAGAAGAUUCUGGACAGGGCUACUUUUUUCCUUCUAGUUAAGAUGCUUAAAUGACUUAUACAAGGUGACCCACAAAGUAGAAAAAGAGAUGAUUACUGACUAGAAGCUGUUCUUGAAUCACAAAAUUCAAACUAGAAAAAGAACAAAAUCUUAAUGUAUUCUUUGUUUGAAUGGGCUGGAUGAUCCUUACUAGGUGGAAGUGUUUUUCGAUAUAUCUAAUUGAUGUUUUUAAUAGUACCUCAGCCGUAAAGAGUCUCUUCUCCCCUCUUUGUUUGGCCUUUUGGUCUUUGUAUACAUCUCUUAUACAUGGGUUGCACCCUACCUUUUGGCACUUGUUGUAUAAAACUUUACUUGUUAAGGGGGAAAAUAGAAUCUCAACCAGGGCUUGCAUGUAAUGCAUUUUCUAACUAGAAAACACUAGAUACCUUGAGAGUCUUGACCAGAUAGUAUUUGAGGGAACAACUGCACAUAUGGACAAUAGAUCUUAACCAGACUUGGUUGCACUUUGUUUGAGGUAUGGCCUGAUCAGAUUGGUGAAAAAAAGCAAGUUGGGGUCUUGUAAGCUGGUUAACUGUACUGUGUUGGGGUUUGGUUUUGGAUGAGAAUUGGGCUGGUUUGGGAAAUGAUCAGGCCAAAUAUUGAUCCUGUGGCAUAGUGGUAGUGAUGGUGGCCGCAAUGGUAGAUCAAAGGUGGUGGUAGUAGUAGUGAGAUAGCUGUCCCCUCUCAUACUCAACUCUGAGGUUUUGAGAAUAACACCAUUCACAUGUUUUGAAACCUAAGAUAGUAGGAUUUUAAACCCCACCACCUGCAAAAUGUUCCAAACAAGGCAAUUUUGUUUUUCCUAAGAAAAAGGACUUCUCAAAUUCCAUAUUAACAUGAGAUCUUUCUUCAACUUUAAUAUUCCAAGUGGACUUGAAGGGUCAAAAUCACUUAUUUAUUUUCACCUUACUAGAAGAACAUUUCUAAUCUUUAGAAGGGAUCUUUCUUUUGUUACUGUUUGGAACAUUAUGGUAGAUAACAUGAGAAAGAAGCCUCAGAAAGGUGUUCUGCAUGUUGGUUUUGGUGUAUUUGGGAGAAGGGAAAACCCAAAAUUUGAAGAAUGUGGAGCUACCCAUUUUUAACUUGAAAAGUUAACCAUCCAAAUAGUCUUUCCUUUGGAGGUUCUGCAAGGGAGUAUAGCCUUCUCAAUAAUUCUUUUGAGUUCUUAAAUGAGAUAAGAUGUUGGACUUUUCCCCCUUAUUUUUCUUGUUUGCUCAUGUAUAUGCUACAUUAUUUUGUCUUCUAUAUUUUUUAUUAAUAAAAUUCUCUUGUUUACAAAUUGGAAAAGAAAGAAAUGAUGGCCUUCACUAAAGAAUAAUAUGCUGUUUUUUUUUCUACUAAUGCUUACUGUUGCAGGUUUGUGUGGCCUCGUGACCUUUGCUAUGUGCGUUAUUGGUGUCGAAAUGAUGAUGGAAGUUAUGGUAAAUGGUUUGCUUGUCCAGUUGUUUAUUUUUCCUGGUUCUUGUCCUUCUCUUUUUCAUUUGGAAACAUCCAAGUUAUUUUUGUUAUUGUGCAGUUGUGUUAUUUCGUUCUAGGGAGCACGAGAACUGUGGUCCGCAACCAGGAUGUGUGCGUGCCCAUCUUGAAAGUAAAGGCUAAAUCUUUUUUUUUUACACUGAGAAUUCAAGGGAUUAACACUGAUUUAGAUCGGUAGUUUGUUUAAUUCAUGCUAGGCCAUCUCAUCGACACUAUGUGAUCUGUUUUCUCAGGUGGGGGAUUCAUCAUUUCCCCUCUAAAACCUCGAAAUGGGAGGCCCAGAACACAGGUUCAGCAUCUUAUGCAAAUUGAUCUGAAAGGAUGGGGCACUGGUUAUAUUUCAUCAUUUCAGCAACAUUGUGUCCUUCAGAUGUUAAAUAGUGUUGCUGGUAAAUUUUUUUCUACUUUCUUUUUCUCUCAAACUUCUAAUUUUACACUUGUUAGAAUUUGGAGGGCAAUGUUGCAGAUUUGUAUUAAUUUGAGAAUCUGAAGACCUUUGUGCUUCGAAACCACUCUUUUGCCUAAAUUUCUUUGAACAAGAUAAUUUGAUAAGGGUAUUAUUGGAACAAUAUAAGUAUACAAAGAAGUGCUUUUGGCUUCAUAUAAUAGUAUAUAUACUUUUAGCAGGAUAUUUUACAGAAAGAAUUCUUCAUGCUUAGGUUAAAAUAACUCAAAAUAUUUGAACAACUUCAAAUGGUAAUGUUAUGUCCUUUUUCUUUAUCCAAUAAAAUUUGGAAAGGUUAUUAUUAGAAGAUACAUGAGCAUAUCUAGAGGUUCUCUUGGCUCUAUAUAACAAAUAUAUAUUUCCAUGAAGAGCUAGAGAACAAAUGGAGAUCCAUGGGGGUUAUUUAGGAUUUGGUUCACUUUUCCUCCCUCUAUUUUUAUUAUUGAUUGUUUUCCGGGUACUCUUUAGAACCUUUUACUGCUGGAUUGGAAAUAUAUUUGGUACUCUAAAAUAUCACAUGUAAGGACAAUACUUAAUUGGUCACAUCCUCCAGUAGGUUUGAUAAAGUUAAAUUUUGAUGGGUAUUCCUUGGGUAAUCUUGGUAUAUUAGGUAUAGGAGGUGUGAUAAGAGAUCAUUUGGGUACCGUACUUUGGACUUACUCUAAACCUAUUGGGAUGGAUUCAGCUAUUGAGGCAAAGAUAUUAGCAUUAUUAGAGGGCUGGUUGCAAGUUAAAGCUUGUGGGUUUAUCUAACCUAAAUGUGCAGGGAGAUUCUUCUGUUGAGGCUCUUGGAAGUUUGAAACUUAGCCCAUGAAAUUUAAAUAUUUCUAGUGAUGUGGCAUACUUGUUCUUUUAGGUUCUUCGUUGAGCUAUUCAAACCAUACUCUAGUUAGGUAAGCAGGGAGUAAAACAUUUAGUUUCGUGUUAGAGACAUUUUUUCUCCUUGAGUAUAUAGAGCAUUUUGUAGAGUGUACAUUACUUUUCAUGUCUGUAAUUUGUGUUUUUUUGCUCAGCUAGUUUUUCUACUUUCUGUUCAGCAAUUGUACAUCUUGGAGGGGAUUAUCAUCCUUCUUUGUAUAUAUCGUUCAAUGUAACGAGUGUUUUUUGUUUGUUUCUCUGUGUGUGUGUGUGUGUGUGCACAUUACAUCUUGAAUGGAUCCUUCUGUGCAUUUAUCAUUCAAUGCAAUGAAUAUUGCUUUUGUGUGUGGAAGGACACUCCUAAUGUUUUCCAACUAUACUUGGUUGGCUGCGGAGAAUGUCAUCUUAUCAUUUUAUGUCUAAGGGGUGUGACACCAAAUUCCUUACUCUUUCGCCUUUUCCAUGCCUUAAUAUCUUUCAACAUGCGAUUUUAACGUCUUGGUGAGAAAUGCUAAAAAAAUAGCCUCUGCUAAGAAAAAUGGAAAGGACGUUGAAGGUCUCUGUGGAGAGGAAGACCGUCUUGGUUAGGUGGGAAGGCGAGCACGGAGGAAAUUGGUGCUCGAUUACAGAGCACAGUAGAGGCUAUGUUUAUGCCUUAGGAUUCGAAAAAGAAGAAGUUGGGUGGUUGAUCGAACUUUUGACGAAAGCCAUUGAAUUGAAGAGUCACUUGGGGUUCAAUAGAAAGUAUAGGGGAAAAUCCUGUGUCCAUUUGAUGGAAGUAUACUUCAACAAUCACGAAAGGUUCAUAAGGAUUUCAGAGUUCGCUACCAACAGAAAACCAACUUUUCUGGUUAUUCCUGAGGAUGAGAAGGGCAGAGGUUAGGAGAAUCUAAAAAGCGCUCUGUCUUCUUUGUUGGUGGUCCCCCCAUUGAAUGCAUAUGAAAAAGGAAGACAAUACAGAGUGGAAAGGUUUAACCACAUUCACGUGGGUCCUCUAUAUAGGUCUUUUGCGAACGUGGUUAGAGAUGAAGGACCAAGGAGAGGUGGACUUGUUCCGAUUGGAAGGUAGGCGCGAGCCAUGGUGUGUGAAUGCAGUGCAGAUUGUGGUAAAUGGGCUGAGAUUGGCCGAGCUGUAGCGAGAAGCUUAGGGAAGAAGGGAGUGGCUACGAUUGUGCCCUUCUCAGGCAGAAAAGGUGUUUUUUUUGUUGAAACGAAAGAGGAAGCUCUCUUUCUCCACGAUUUAAGGUUUAUUAAGAUUGAGGGAGGGAAUUCACUUCAGUUGAGAAGGUGGUCACCAAAGGAAAAUUCGAUAGUUGAGGGGAAGUUCAGAGGAGGUGGGAUUGAGCUACAGGGUGUGCCAUUUCAUCUCUGGUCUGAGGUACAUUUGAAGAAAUUAGUGGAACAAUGGGGGACGGUGAUUGAAAUUGAUUGGUGAACGUUGAAAUUGUUUGAUCUUAGCAAGGCGAGGGUAAGAAUCGUAAUAAAGGAGCGGACAAUUCUUCUAGCUUUGAUUUAGGUGAUUGACGGGGAUUGGGUGUUUACUAUUUCUGUCGCAGUGGUCGGAGGUGAAGAGAUCAGGAGAGGCAGAGUAAUGGGUGAGUCGACUCGGGAGGGAUUUGAAUCUCACUCGGGGACAGGUGGUGGAAGGCGGGAGGAGAAAGACAGAUCUACGGCUGGAGGUAGUUUUCGUGUUGGGGAAGUUGGCAGAAAGAAGAAGGAAGAAGAAAGGUGUUCGGCUGAAGUUCUUCCUGCGGGGACACGUGGUAAGAAUGGUCAAUGCAUGGGGAACAAUUGGCUCAGUUUGAAUUCAAAAAAACUGAACUAUGGGCCUGUUGGGACAGAGAUGGCGGGCGAAGCUUCGGCCGGUGGGGACGAGACCUUCUCAGGCGAGAAUGGUCGGGCCUUUGAGAGAGAGGCCUAGUCUCUCUCCAAUUUCAGCUCAAUAGCAAAAACGGGCUGUUUAUUAAAAGGCUCGAUGAGGAUGGACCUAGGAACUGAAGAAAAGAAGCCCGUUGGAAAGUUGGGAUCGUUACGAAAUGAAGGUGGUUCUGCAAGGGGAAAGGGGAAAGGAGUUGCAGCUGAGUCUGAUGUUCAGACGAGAGGAUCUACGAAGAAGGAAGUGAAGUUCGGUUCAAAGAAGCUGUGGAAUACCCUAUUUCCCCUAAGUUCCGCUCGUCGACAUGGUUCUCGAAGUCGCAGUGAGCCUCUUCUGCUCGGGAAGCCUUCGUCGAGUAGCGUAGAGCUUCCUAUGGAGGUGGCUUUCGGGGCGGGAGCUCAGUGGGAACGAGGACUCAGCGCGAGCCCUCUCUUCAUGUGUCGAUCGUUUAGAAAGUGGUGCUCGUGGGGAGGGGCAUCGUCAUCUAAAGGCAGAGACGCUGCGCGCAAACCAUUUCAUGAAGAAGAAAGGGAAGGAUUUUUGGGCUAAGUGGGGUUUGAUCUUUGUGGUGCUUCAGUCAUGUUUUUGCCUUCUAAUCCUGAAAUCAGAGGUAAAGGGCUCAACUUUUGGGGGAAUCGUGGAAUUUUGGUAGCGGAAAACUUGGAGGUAAUCUCAUCCUCACCUUCUCAGUCUCCCGUGUCUUCUUUUCCCUCUUCUUUUGGGUUGGCACUUCCAUUUCCGAGCCCUUCUGCUCCCGUUUUUCCUAGUUCAGUCAUUCAGCCCCCAGUUCACAUGGAAAAUCGAGGAAUUUUCGAUUGUUUUUCCAAAAAUGACGAUGGUGGUACUUUCUGUCAGAAUGGUGUUGGCAUUCCAAACCUGGUUAUGGUGGAGUCCCAGUCUGCUUAUUCAAACCAGUUGCCCGAGAGUCUGAACCUCAUUAAGUCUAAACCCAAUGUGCCUAGUGAGGUUUCCAACCUGGUUAUGGUUAGCCAGGGUAAUGCUGCGGUCUCCCCAUCGGGCGAGUUCUAAAUUGAAGGCCUAUCUCCCAGGAAAAUGGCUAAAGUGCGUGAGAUUUUAAGCUCUCUAGAUAUUAAGGUUUAUUCCAGGAGGAAGAGCAGAUGCUCUACAGGAUUGUGAGACCUGGUGGUACCGGAUUGGGGGUUUAGGGUCUAUGUUGUUUUUCCAUGAAAAUAAUAAGUUGGAAUACCAGAGGUUUGGGAUCAAGGAAAAAACGAAGGGUGGUCAAAGAUUUUCUGAGGUUAGGGAAUCCGGAUGUAGUGAUGAUACAGGAAACAAAAAAGAUGGAGUGUGAUAGAAGGUUUGUGGGUAGUAUUUGGACGGUAAAAAAUAAGGAUUAGGCUGUUUUGCCGGUGUGCGGGGCUUCAGGUGGGAUUUUGAUAAUUUGGGAUUCUAAUAAACUGCGCAGUGAGGAGGUGGUAAUAGGAUCCUUUUCGGUCUCGAUCAAGGUUGCUUUGGAUGGAUGCAGACCUCUUUGGUUGUCCGUAGUUUAUGGCCCAAAUAGUCCCUUACUUAGGAAGGAUUUUUGGGUGGAGUUGUAAGACAUUUUUGGUCUAUCUUUUCCAUUAUGGUGCAUGGGCAGUGAUUUUAAUGUCUUAAGGAGAAGUUCUGAAAAAUUGGGAGAAUCUAGUCUAACUUCAAGCAUGAAGGACUUUGAUGAUUUUAUAAGAGAAUGUGAAUUGCUUGAUCCACCUUUACGGAAUGCACCAUUCACUUGGUCAAACAUGCAAGAGACUCCUGUGUGUAAAAGAUUGGACCGUUUUCUUUACUCAAAUGAGUGGGAGCAAUCCUUUCCUCAAAGCCUUCAAGAAGUUCUUCCUAGAAGGACUUCGGAUCAUUGGCCGAUUGUUUUGGAAACCAACCCGUUCAAGUGGGGCCCAAUACCUUUUAAGCUUGAGAAUAUGUGGUUGCAACAUCCUAAUUUCAAAGAGUGCUUUAAAAGUUGGUGGAGAGGUUUUCAAGGAACUGGGUGGGAAGGUCACAGGUUCAUGAGGAAAUUACAAUUUGUGAAGGCCAAUUUGAAAGAGUGGAAUAAGGUUUCUUUUGGAGUGCUAGAUGAAAGGAAGAAAAACAUCCUGAAUGAAAUAGCUAACCUUGAUGCCAUUGAGCAAGGAGGGGGUCUCACUUCUGAACUUUUAGUUCAAAGAGCUUUAAGAAAAGGGGAAUUAGGGGAAUCAAUUUUGAGGGAAGAAAUUCAUUGGAGAUAAAAAGAUAGGGUGAAAUGGGUAAAGGAAGGGGAUUGUAACUCAAGGUUUUUUCAUAAAGUGGCUAAUGGUAGGCAAAAUAGGAAAUUUAUCAAGGUGUUGGAGAAUGAAAGAGGAUUAGUGUUGAAUAAUUCAAAGAGCAUCAUAGAGGAGAUUUUACUUUACUUUGAAAAGCUCUACUCGGGUCCUACUGGAGAGUCUUGGAGAGUUGAAGGCUUAGAUUGAUCCCCUAUAUCUGUAGAGAGUGCAUCUAGGUUGGACUCCCUUUUUACUGAAGAAGAGAUUUAUAAGGCUAUUUUUCAGUUGGAUAGGGAUAAGGCGCCGUGUCCUGAUGGCUUUACUAUUGUAGUGUUUCAAGAUUGUUGGGAUGUGAUCAAGGAGGAUUUAGUGAGAGUGUUUGCAGAGUUCCACAGUAGCGGAUUUAUCAAUCAAAGCACUAAUGCUUCCUUCAUAGUUCUGUUGCCCAAAAAAAGCAUGACAAAGAAAAUAUCAGACUAUAAACCUAUUAGCUUGAUCACUAGUCUUUACAAGAUAAUAGCUAAAGUGUUAUCAAGGCGUCUAAGAAGGGUACUACACGAAACUAUUCAUUCUACUCAAGGCGCUUUUGUUCAGGGGAGACAAAUAUUGGAUGCAGUUCUCAUAGCCAAUAAGAUGGUGGAUGAGAAAAGACGAUCAAGGGAGGAAGGAGUCGUAUUCAAAAUCGACUUUGAAAAGGCUUACGACCAUGUGUGUUGGGAUUUUUUGGAUCAUGUGUUGGAGAAGAAGGGGUUUAGUCCUAGAUGGAGGAAAUGGAUGAGAGGUUGUUUGUCCACGGUAUCUUUUGCAGUCUUAGUGAAUGGAAACGCUAAAGGGUGGGUCAAGGCAUCCAAAGGCUUAAGACAAGGCGACCCUUUAUCCCUCUUUUUGUUUACUUUAGUCGCAAAUGUACUGAGCAGGAUGUUAUUGAGAGCAGAAGAAAGAAAUUUGUUGGUGGGUUUCAGGGUGGGUAGGAAUAGAACAAGGGUGUCCCAUUUGGAAUUUGUAGAUGAUACCAUUUUCUUCUUUAACACUAGGGAGGAAGAUUUGCAUUCUCUCAAGAGUUUAUUGCUAGUGUUUGGGCAAAUUUUUGGGCUUAAGGUUAACCUCGACAAGAGUAAUAUUUAUGGCAUCAAUCUUAAACAAAAUCAUCUUUCUAGGUUGGCCAAAUUGCUUGAUUGCAAGGUUUCUGGGUGGCCUAUACCCUACUUGGGUCUCCCUUUGGGAGGAAAUCCCAAGACUUGUGGCUUUUGGGAUCCUGUGAUUGAGAGGAUCUCGAGAAGAUUAGAUGGGUGGCAAAAGGCCUUUUUAUCUUUUGGAGGUAGGAUAACUCUUAUCCAAUCUUGCCUCACCCACAUGCCUUGCUACUACUUCCUUUCCUUGUUUAAGAUACCCGCUUCAGUGGCUGCAAAAAUUGAGAGAUUGCAAAGAGAUUUUUUAUGGUCAGGGGUUGGGGAAGGUAAAAGAGAUCAUCUUGUUAGUUGGGAUGUAGUGUGUAAGCCGAAGGCAAAAGGAGGUAUGGGAUUUGGGAAGAUAGUUCUAAGGAAUGUCGCACUCUCAGGGAAAUGGUUGUGGAGGUACCCUAGGGAAGGUUCAGCUCUAUGGCAUAAGGCUAUUCUAAGCAUUUACGGAUCACACUCCAAUGGAUGGGAUGCCAACACAAUAGUCAGAUGGUUACAUCGUUGUCCUUGGAAGGCUAUUGCUCAAGUCUUUCAGGAGUUUUCCAAGUUUACUCGAUUUGUGGUAAGAGAUGGGGAAAGAAUUUGGUUAUGGGAAGACUUGUGGUGGGGGGAUCAACCUUUGGGUUCUCAAUAUCCAAGACUAUUUAGAGUAGUCACGGAUAAAAAUAGUCUUAUUUCUUCAAUUCUCGGAUCUACUCAUCCUUUUUCAUGGAACUUUAACUUUCGACGCAACCUAUCCGAUCCUGAGAUAGAUGAUUUAGAAGGCCUCAUGCGGUCACUUGAUUGUCUACAUGUGUCAUUUUCGGUUCCAGAUGCGAGAUCCUGAUCCUUAUCUUCUUCAGGGCUUUUUACAGUCAAAUAUUUCCUUCUUGCCUUAUCCCAAUGUUCUAGUUCUCCACCAGUUUUCCCUACUAAGUGUGUUUGGAAAUCUCAAGUCUCUUUCAAAGUCAAGUCCUUUGUCUGGUUGGUGGCACACAGGAAGGUAAAUACUAAUGACUUGCUGCAUCUGAGAAGACCCUACAAAGCUCUUAGUCCUGAUAUUUGUAAGUUGUGCAUGAGGCAUGGAGAAUCAGCUGAUCAUCUUUUCUUACAUUGUUCUUUGACGAUGGGGUUAUGGCACAGAUUAUUUCAGUUAGCCAAGAUGGAUUGGGUUCCCCCAAGGAGCAUUUCUGACAUGCUGUCCAUCAAUUACAAUGGCUUUGGUUUAUCGAAGAGAGGGAUAGUUUUGUGGCAAGAUGCUUGUAUAGCUAUAAUUUGGGUUGUGUGGAGGGAAAGAAAUGCGAGGAUUUUUUAGGAUAAAGCAAGGAAUUCAGAGAAUCUUUGGGAUUUCAUUUCCUUGCUUCUCUUUGGGCUUUUUGUUCCAAGGUUUUUAAGGGGACUCCCCUUACUGUGUUACAACUUGAUUGGCUAGCGGCGUGUAAUUCCUUUGGGUUUGUCUAGUCUAGAGAGUUUGUUCGUUUUUUACUUUGUAUUUUCUUGUUUUCGUAUUCUUGUUGUUUAGUUUUCUUUGGUGGAAGGAUUUCUCAUCCUUCUCUUGUACUUCUUUUUUCUUUUAAUAUAUUCCUUUGUCGCUUCCUAUCAAAAAAAAAUAUUGCUUUUGUGUGUGUGUUUGUGUGUUUUCAUGAAGAUAUUCUACUACAAAGGGAAAAGAGUGCUUGUGCUUGGUGCAAAGAUGCUAAAAUCUUGCAAACAACUUUGGAAGGCAAUAUCUGUAUCCAUUUUUCUGUCAUGUUAUUUGAUAUUUUCUGUUGAAAUUUUAUAAUUUUUUUCUAGGAUUUUUUUAUCCAGUCUGCUUUAUAGAUUUAGACACUGAUAAUACAGAAUUUAUGUCAAUAGAGUUAACAGCAGGAGAAAGAAAUAUAAGAGCUUGUAACUUUCUUCUUUAUUUUCAUAAAGAAUUUCAUUCCUGCUUUAUUUUUUGUUUUAUUCUGAAGGAACUUUUUUAAUUUGUCUACUUAAUUGAAUCCUUGUUUAUAUUUUAUGAUAGGACUGCGUGAGUGGUUUUCUCAGACGGAUAAAAGGAAUGCUCUGCCAAGAAUUCCUGUUAUGGUCAAUAUGGCCUCAACUUCUUUUACUUCAGAGAAGAAUCAGAAGCCACAGGAGUCUUCUGAUCAAUUGAAUGCUACAAGUAGGAACUCAAUGAUGAUGGAUGAAUACUCUGAUGAAGAUGAAGAAUUUCAAGCACCCGAGACAGAACAAGAGGUUUGUACUACACACCUGCUCUUAUGUUUUAUGCACAUACCUUCUCUAAACAUGAAUUUUGCACAUUAUUCAGGCAUACUCAAUGAGUCUUCCGAAUGAAGUCAAAGGAACAGGUACUGCCUUGUAUCUAUGUUUUUCUUAUGACAUUUGGUGCUGGAUCCUUAUGUCUGAUAUAUCAAAUGGAACUUUACAAUCAUUAUGUUCAUCAUGAAUUGAAGCCAUGGAAGAAGAACCCCAAGAUAAAAUUGAUGUCUCAUGUUUUUCGGGCAAUCUACGACGUGAUGACCGUGAUAAGGGUCGUGACUGCUGGACGAUAUCUGAUGGGAACAACUUCAGAGUUCGUAGCAAGCAUUUUUGUUAUGACAAAACGAAGGUUCUCUGGUCCUCUGCUUGUUUCCUUUAGUUAGUAUUUCUUGAAUUUUCUUGAUCAACAUCUUAUGACCUUAUUAGGCCUGCUUUAAUGACGAUCUUCCAACAUGUAUUUGAAGAUUCCUGCAGGGAAACAUCUUAUGGAUCUUGUUGCUGUUGAUUGGUUCAAAGACUCAAAACGGAUCGACCAUGUUGCUAGGCGACAAGGCUGUGCAGCACAAGUACUAUAUUCUAUUCUUUUCUGACUUAUAUGUACUUAUUUUAUUGAUAGUGAAUCAAAGUCAAUUACUUAUUUCUAUAAUACUUUUCUCUCUAAACCACUAAAACCCUUUGUUAAGAAUGCAGCAUCUGUGGUAUUAGAAAAAUAUGAAAAUCCUCUUCCUCCUUGCCAAUGCUACCUUUUCCAUCUACUAGGUGAUACCUUUUAUCCUAAAGCUCAGUUUGUUGGUACUGCUCUGGUUUGUCAGAUUGCUGCUUAGUAUUUGAUUAUUAAUUCAUAUACCAUCAUUUAGAAAAGCAAGCAUAAUACCAUUUUAGAACUUCUCUUUCCUGUCCUAAUGAUUAGCAUGCACACUGUCCACAAUAUAAUCAUUAACUCCUCAGUCUUCUUCAGCAUCAUCGUGACUGUCAUCAUCACCCUUAUAGUAUCUAGAGGUACUUAUUCCACAUGCAUUUGCUCAUUGUGUUACCGUCUGUGGUUCCAUAGUUCCUUACCUAGUUUCUUGUUUAUUGUUGGUUUUGAGUUUUGAAAUUGAGUAGACAUAGAAGAUUAUAAACAAAGAAUAGUUGCUUUAUUUGAUUCCUUGGGUUUUCUUUGCAUCUGAAAUUUUGAAAAGAUGAAGAAAAAUACAGAAUAAGUUUCUCAUGUAUACCACUUUGUGCAAAUAUUAAUCAUUAUGAACUAUGUCCAAUGUUUAAAAAAUUGGGAAAUAUCAUGGAUAUUUCCUGAAAAUUUUGUGCUUAGGUCAUCACUGACAUGACAAAUGGAAAGAAAACACUGACCAACUGUCUUUCGUUCAUUUUUCGAUAGUUUUUGCCCUUCUUUUUGGCUAAUUUCAGUAUUUUUCUAGUUUUUUUGCCAAUACUUUCAACAUUAUCCGAAUUGUUUCCAAUUUUCUGCCAAUAAUAUCCCACAUUGCGCUCCUAAUGAUUUUGCGCAUCCCUCAGUCAAUGUGUUGCUUCCUCUCCCAGGCUUAGUCAAUGGGGGCUCCUUCUCUCCCCUUAAUUCUUGCCAACUCCUUAGAUUUAAAAAUUGGGUUUUGAACCUAAGAUGACAAGGAUGAAAUGAGCCUUUCCUAACCACUGGAUCAUCUAUAUUGUUUGUAAUAAAGGUUCACAAAUAUAUAUACAUUUAGAUAUCCAUGGCAAAAACAAAAUGUUAAAAUAAAAUUUUGAUAAAUUAAUUAAUUUUAAUUAAUUUCUAAUUGAUUGUUAAAACAUAGAAAUUAUCAUGAUAAUUUUCUUAACAAGUAUUUAUGUAUAUCUUUUAUGUAUUAAUUAAAUAUAAGAGAAAUCUAAAUAUUCUAAAAUAAAUCAUAUAUGUAUCGUUAUUUCUUUUAUAUCCUUGAAUACAUUUAAAUUAAAUAGAUCAUUAUUUUAGCAUUAAAUAUGUUUUCAAUUUCGAUAUGUUAUUAUCAAAUAUUAAAAACUUUAUUGUACAAAUAUUACUUUCUUCACUAAAACAACUUUAAUGUGCAUAUUAUUACUUAUUUUAUCAUUUCUUAAAAACACUUUUAACAUUUUUAUGGGUUUUGAUCAAUUUCCAUCGCACCAGAAGUUUUUGUGAAAAUUUCCUUAGAUAUUUCUUGAUAUAUUUCGAUAUAUCCAUAAAAUCCACCUAUUGAUAUUUCCAUAAAAACUGAUAUUUUUAUCCUUCACUAUGUCUAUAGAGAAGAUUGUUAUAGAGAAAAUUGUGAAGGGCAUAUAUUUGCUCCUAUUGAUGAUAGGUUUAAUAUGCAGUUCUUUGUUUUGAAAAUUGAUUGCUUUUAUAAUGGCAGUAGUUCUGCUAAUAUUUUUUUUCCUUCUUAACAUGUGACUCUGUAUAAAAUUAUCCUUAAUAUACAAAACUUUCUUAUAUGUUUAGAGGCUUGUUGAACAUGAAUUCUACAAACAAGAUAGUUCUAUGUACUUUCUAUUGUUGACAUCCAAUUUCAUACUAGCAAUGGACCUAUGACGAUAAGCACUUUGACUAUCGUGAUAUGCAUAAUUAAAUGAUAUGCAGAACUUGUUUCAUUAUUAUCUCCACCCUUGUGGUUGUGUCAUCGAUUAUUGAUGCUGCAAGGAGGUAAUUACCACCGACCUAUUGCUGGAAAUAUUCCUCACUACCCUGUCAAGGGCCAACACCACUCCUACUGCUCUGACAAUGCAGAGAGGACACCUACUAUCUAGUACCCAUAUUAGGAUAGAAGCCUUUACAUCAUGAGGUCAAUGGGGGAGCUAUCUUGAGUACCCUCACAUGCUAAGGUGGGCCACUUCCCUUUGUCCCCUGGUUGGCUUUCAACCCUUUGCACUCUAUCAAGACGAUAUGUCAUGCCCCAAAACCCACUCCAAGGGCAUGACAGUCAUUUCACACCUCAAACUCGAAGGUUCAAAGUCAAAACGACACAAGUUUUCAUCUUGUAAAUAGAAAUUACCAAUUACCAAAUUGUUGUUCAAAGUAGUAAAAUAAAUAAAUUCUAAAAUCUCCAGAUAUCAAUUUAUAAAAACCAACACAUCAACUCAAGUGUUAUUGUCCAAAUAACUUCAAACUCAAAUAAUUCAAAUUGAAAAUAAAUUUUAACAUUUAAAUAAUGUUCAAAAUAAAAAGAGUUUUAACAAAUGUCCUAACAAGCCAAUUUCUCCUCCAAUUUCUCCUCCUAACCGUCACUCCUCGCCUGAAUUGAGGGUACCUGGAAAAUUAUCAACAAAGGGGGAUGAGCUCAAAGCCCAAUAAGGAACAUUAACAUAGUUUCAUAGAUCAAUUAUUUUCAAUUAUACUUAUAAACAG